Molecule: long non-coding RNA, 57902 nt
Filed under: Setaria italica (foxtail millet)
Lineage: Eukaryota; Viridiplantae; Streptophyta; Magnoliopsida; Poales; Poaceae
Description: long non-coding RNA (SITA_LNC001512)
Source: RNAcentral
ACCACCUCCUGCUCGGUCUCGCCCAGGAACCGCCUCACGUCGUCGAGCACGACAUCGACGGGGUACGUGGCCAGGAUGCCGUGGCAGACGCGGCGCUCCUCCUGGACGCGCACGUCGAUGACGCGCGUGCCCAUGGACAGCUGCUCGUACACGGACAUGGACUGGCACCGCGCGAAGGGGCGGGUCACCAGCGGGACGCCGAUCUUGUUGGUGGCCGAGUCGUGGGUGCCCGGCCACACCACCUGGUGCACGCGCACCCUGUCGGCGCCCAGCUCCGCCAUCCACUUCUUCCGGUCCGCCGGCCGGUGGUCGGAGCCCGGGAACGUGUCGCCGGACGACGACAGGCGCGUGGCCAGCGCCUGCUUCUCGGUGGUGACCAGCUUCCGCCGGUCGACCUGCUUCGCGAAGAAGGCGCCCAUGGCUUCCAGCGGGUUGGUGCCGUUCUUGCCAGAGCUAUUGGAGGCGGCCAUUAUAAAUAUAGGAUCCUCGCCUCGAGCUCUGACCUGGACGACGACGUCGCUGUAAGCUGGGGAUCGAUUGAUUGAUAGCAAGACAAACAAGGAAGAAUAUAUCAGCGCGCGGGGUUAGCCAGCCAACAUGUGCCGAUGGUUGAUCUGUAGGGGCUUUGGCCUUGGCUGAUCGAUCCGGAUCGGAGGAGGAACGGGGAAGCGAGGCGUGGUGUUCUUGCGAGCUCCGCAGCUGUUUCCUCAAAGAUUUCGGUUUCGUUGGAUGGUCCGAUUGGCGUUAGGUGAGGCUAUGCUGCUGCCUGCUGGGAACCGAUGGCAGGCCGGCCGAGAUUUUUUUUUUUGUUUUGGCUUGCAAGUUACAAGAAGAGAUGGGGGUUUGGUUCGCUGCUCACUCGUUCGGACCAUGGAGUGCUUGUGUUUUUUAUGGCGAGACAGUGACCAGAUCGGGGGCCACAAGGACAGGGACAGGCGCAUCAUGGACGGACGGACACGCCGUGUUAUUGGCGGCCUGGCGGUUGCUGGAAUAAUUUGUCGGGCAAAUGCGGGAAACUUUUGUGGACGCGGAUGGAAAAGUCACCCAUCAGGCCGGGGUUGUACAAUGGCCUAUGCCCAUGUGAUCUAUCGGCAGACAUGCUUGGAUAGUUGGAUACUGGAUACGCCGCACCUUGUCAGUAACGCGAGAGCCUCAUCUCGACGCGCAUGCAGAUUUAGCACAUGAUUCGUUUGCAUAAAUAGCACAGACGGAUUUUUUUUCUCUCAAAACAAAUGGUAGACACACAGACGGCCAGUAUUGGGAAUAACGCUUAAACGCUGCCUGUAGGCGACGGGAGCCUUUGAAUGCGAGACGCCAAACAUCACGAUGCCAAUCAAACUGGCACUAGUUGCCACGUUAGGCGCACGAUCCUUGUCCAGCCUGGGCCACGGGUGCACGGCACGUGUUUCGUUUAGAGCAACACGAUGUGUUGUGUCGCGAAGCAAAAAUUUAGCCAACUCCCUCAAUUAGUAGUGGAGAUUCGGGCCUUGCUCAAAUUUUGCGCACCAUCUCUUGGUUUGAUCUCAAAAUUUGGCCUUGCUCAGACUAUUUGCAAAGCUAAAACGGAGUGGAAAUUGGAGCGAGCAAGAGAUCCUCCCAUCUUUCAGAGGCGAUUCAGUUUCUGGUAGAUGAGGCGUAAACCAUACGAGGCUCAUCAUUCUUAUUCCAUGAACAGUUUUUUAAGCCCACCACACCAUAGAAUACCAAAAAGGAUCAAAACUAAUACUGAGUGGAGUAGCUUUCAAGUCAGCCGGAGCUCAGCUUCCUGCUUCCAAUCAUUUGACUAGCACGGGUUCGAAUCACAGCUUGUGCUCCGCGUUCAACUGCUUCCAACGAGAUACACAUUGGACGUACACAACAACACAUCCCUCCGUCAAUCAUGCAACGGUAGUUGGUUACUCGGACUUCCACGUGGACUUGCACUAUUUCGAGCAAUCAAGCUCAUCAUGCCUUCCACGUGGACGCGGGCUCAGGCGCUCGGCAAAGAACUUUCAGAACAAUGCGGAGAUCAAUGAGGGGAACAGUUUCUUGCCCAGUCCUAAAUCCAGGUCAAUGUAGGUGCGAGGCCAGAUAACACAGAGACAAACACAGAGACACAAGGGAAAUCUCUUGGCUCCGACCCAAUUCUCCAGUUACUUUGGCUGUGUUAUUUUACCUGACAUUCUAUCCGACCGAAAAAAAAGCUAUAUCAAGGACAGUGUCAAUUCUCCAGUAGAGCUGAAUUCUCUGCAAAUGGUUGUUGGAAUAGGCUAGGACAGUGUCAACUGUUUUGUAAUAUAUGCCAUAUCCCAUUUUGAAAAGGGAAGAAAUAAAACCAAUCAUGGAAUGAAUGACACCUGGUGGAAAUGAAUAAAUAGUUCUCUUCUUAUAAGUAUUGGAAAGAGAACUUACCAGUCGCUCUCCCUGCGCAACUGGCACUUUAUUUCUUGAGAGAGAUGAGCAGCAACACAAUAAACUACUAGCGUGAUUUAUAGUCUUAUAAUGCCCACAGUGGCUGCCAUACGAAACAUGGCUACAGGAUAAACUUCUGUUGAUUUCGUCAGAUUUCUCCACUAGUAGUCAUUUGUCUAUUAGGAAUUUGCAUAAGCUGGUCGUGAAGAUAAGCUAACCAACCAGGAGGGUAAAAAAUGAAGAGAAUGCUGAGAUGCUAUUUGAUUGUUAGCCAACCAAUGGAAGGCCACAUUUUGUUAGUGUUACAAGUUUACAACAACCAACUAAAUACAGUGUUAAAAUAUAUACCUGCCUAGGGGAAAAUUAUUGCUGAUUAAAAGAAUAGCUCCUCCCCACAAGCAUAUCACAGCAUCAUCAGCAUGUUAGGACAAAGUGAUGGACCAGACUUACAGGAAGCAGAAUGUCCUGGACUCCUGGUUAAAAUUCACAGUUAGCAGUUUGCACAAAUCUACAUUAAAUUGUCCAAGUCUGACAAAAGCACACGGUGCGAGUAAAUUCUUUCACCUGAAAGGGGGAACCGUCACAAGCGCUUCUCUUUAGAUUUUACAGGUGCCCACUGAAAGUGGCCACAAUUUGCUUCUUUAUUUGAUGCAGGUCCCUUGACAAAACACAACAAGUGAUGGCCACAGUAAGAUAAUAAUGCGUUACAUUCUGUAAAACGACAUUUAACAUUGUUCGCAGCCUAUUUGAUUGUUCAACUGAUGUCAUGAUGUCCACUGAGCAGUAAAAUGUGAAUAUAUAUGAGCAGUAAAAUGUGAAUAUAUAUGUACCUGAGCACGAGGACAGACAUAGAAUAAGCGGCCUAUAUUAGGGCCCUUCUUCACAGACCUUGGAAUACAUGGUUCACGAUGUCCUUUGCAACGUGGCAGUGUCAUCUUCAUCUUUUGUUGUAUUCUUUGCCACUCUAAUGCUGCAGCAUUAGACUUGUCUGUUGAAAUUGAACAGGAUGGUAUAUUUGUGUUAUCCUGAUCUUCCGCAGCUGAAGUUGUACACUGCAUGUUUUCUGGCAGACUAUCAUCAUUUGGAACACAUGUUUGAUUGGUAUGGUGUACUGUUUCCACUGGAGUAACUAAGGUACUGAUGCUGACAUUUACUGUCUUUGGCCCUGGUUGUUGAAAAAAUGACUUGAUUGUUGGUUGAGAGGAUAAAUUGCGUUUAAGCUUCUUGUUUGGCACAGACUUGGUGCCAGACGGUGAAGUUUUCUGGCUGUUAUAGGAGACGCCACUUAAUCCUUCAUUUCUCCAUUGAUCAGGAUUUGUCCCCUUACACAUCAAACUAGGAAGGUUACCACCUUUUGUAAGAUCAGUUAUACCAGCUGCCAGUCCUUCCUUAACUAUAGCUUUCUUUUCCAAGCCAUCACUAUAGUAGCUACCAUUUACUGUAUUCUCAGACAGAACCAAAUUUCCAUCAUCUUGCAGCUCAUAAGUUUUCCCCUUAUUGAAGAAUGAUACUGCAAAUUGUGACGACACAAGUGGUCAGUAUUAUGCACAAUAUACUUUAACUAGCACUCCUUCAUGCAAAGUGCACCUAAGUGUAACAUAGGGUUAGGUGGUAUAUACGACCAGAGCACUUGCCUUACCAAGUUACAAUCUAUGCUGAACUGAAUAUUCAAAUAACAGCCUACAACACUAACUGUAAUGCACAGCAAAAUACGCUAUAGGGGUUUACUUUCUGAAAAGAGACAACCAAAGUGCCAACACAUAUUAGGAGUUCAGAAAUCGACAAUGAACAUCAGGAAAAUGUGAAAGAUGAUUUGCAAAUAUCAGUGUUUUAUUGACAUAAUUAAUGUAUCUGUAAGAAAGCCAAAGUCCUGAAGCAAGUUAUGGUUUCCUUUACAUGAAAGUGAUGAAGGGAGGUUGCUUUAACCAAAUUUUCUAUGAAAAGAAAUAUACAUAGCCUAAGAUGCAUGCAAAUUAUUAAAACAAGAUAAAAAGAAUAUUCACAGAUACGUUAUGUGACACAGAACAGUUUCAUGAACACUGACUUCAGCUACUUUAGCACAACAAACACUACAUACAACCUGGUUUUAGUACAUCCACUGAAAGGUGCAAAAGCAAGUUACAAUAAAAAUCUUACAGAGCACUAAAUUCACUCACCAAUACUCUGCUGUCGUCCACGGACCUCUGGAAGAUAUCUUGCAGCUGAUGGUGGGAUAUUAUGAACUGGAAGUUCAGGAAUUUCUUUCAGUAAAAUAUAAACUGGAAUAUGAUCGGAUCCUUCUAGCUUACUACUUCUCCCCCCUUUCCACCUGUAGACAAUGGAUAGAGUAAAUUAUUCCAAUGUAACACCGCAAAUCAUGUAUAUUAUCCACUUUUCUCAGAGAAGAAUUGAUUUCCACUAUUCUUUACUUUGACAAACUUUCAGAAUUCCCUCUUUUGAAAUGAUUCAUUAUCUCACAUUCUUCUACAUGGCAACAAAAAAUGCUAUGAUCCUCCACAGCAUUGCAAUGAUGGAGACAGGCGCCGGAAAUGAGAAUGUGGUCUAUUCUAGAACCGUAAUUAUACUCUUCAGCACCAAUUUUUUGAUUAAAACAAGUAUAUGCUCCUGUCCUGCAUAAACGAAAAGCAGCAAAGUUAGAACAGCGAAGUACAGGUAACAUUGUAAUUUUGUGGGAGGAAUCUACCACAGGUUUAUAAGUCAACCAUGGAGAAGGAAAAUAGAGUAAACUCAAACCUCAUUGUUGCAAAGAGGAAUCCAAUUUGUUCAGUGUAAUGGUGUCAGUUUUCAGCAAAAAUAGAAAAAAAAUCACCCCCCGGGAGAGACGUCCCAUGGGCUGAAUAUGAGCAACUAGUAAUAACAAAUCAAGAGCACAAGUGGUUGCAGUAGCUCCGUAGCACGUUUCAUAAACAUGAAUGAAUGAAUGGUUUCCAGUACCUUUCAGGGUGUUUCGAUCUAAAAGCAUCCAAAAAGGGACCUCCAUGUUCUCUCAGCAUGGAUCUCAGCCAUUCUCGGAACCUUAAUUAGGAAAAGGAUGAUAAAACAGUAUUUUUAUCCCCAAAUGCUUCUUAAAUGGAACCUAGCAGAAAUCACUAAAAUUAAGUAAAAAAGGCUUACAUUUGCUUCUCAAAACCAGGCAGCGCAUCACACCUAUCUAUUGAAGCAGGAGCAAUAUUCAAAUCACCAACAACAAAGACUCUCUUUCCAAGUGCCAGCAGAUAUUCCCAUCGUUUCUAAGAGGCAUCGAAAAAAUAAGCAAGUAUAAGAAGCAUACCAUAGACAAAGUAAUAAACAUAUGAGAAACAAAAGUAUUGUUGAAAUAUUCCAUACUUAUUAAAAGAGAUGCACACAAAGUACCUGCAGUAUCUUAUAAAAUAGUAGCUUAAAACGAACCCGCUCUUUAUCAUCUUCUUCGACAGCUGGGCCAUAUAUGUUGAAAAGAACUACACAGAUGGCGCAACACUAUCAUUACAUACGGAGAAGAAAUUGUCUAUGCAACAAAAUAAAACUGAAAUAACAGUGUGGCAAUUACGUUGUGUUCCUUUCAGGACAACAAUCUACUUACCAAAAUGUCCGUGAUCGGUGAUGAUGCACCGCCCCUCAUUGUCUACCCUUAGCAGGUCUUCUCUUGUGAUUUCACCAAGGCCCUCCUCCGCUACAGGAGUUGCAAUAACAAAAUCCCCCAAAAUUUCGCUGUUUCUUGCAUAGUCGUGAAGUCCAGUAAAGCCUUCUUCAGCUGCUACUGGCAAAGCAACCUCCUGGCUGGAAAAUGCUGAUGUUACUCGGCAAAAUGUUGCAACACCUACAAAGGAGCCAAGUUUGGUAAUUAACUGAUUGAGGACAUGAUAUGAUGAAAGCCACAUUGAACCAAUAGAACAUCUCCAACUAGAAAAUUAAAUAUGCAUCAGCAGGGUGCAAACUAACCUAGUUGGGUGAUUCUAAAUAACGAUAAUGGCACCAUAACACAAUACCAGAGUAUGCUCCACGCCCUUUAGCAGAGCGAUUGCACGAAACAAAAGCCUCGUAUCCUUCAGCCAUUAUGACAUCUGCAGACAGGUCCUGCCUCGACAAUUUGGUCUCCUACAUACAACGCAGAAGGCAUUGAUACAGUUUGGCAAAUGAAUCACAAACCAACCCCCAUUUCACCCAGUUUUACUAUUUGCAUUUGACUGAACAAACGAUCCAAUAACAUCCCACCACAGAACCGACAAUUUGAUCAGCAUUAAACGAGAUACACUAAUUUUUUUCUGAAAUCAAGUGGUAAUCGCAAUAAACUUCACACUUGCUCAUUUGCACUCUGUGUAAUAUGCAGUGCAAUAUCGGCCUUCACCUUCAGUGGGGGUCGAACAGUAAGUGAUAAGCACAGGCAGGUAGGAGCUACUGAGCUAGGGUUUCGAAACAUGGCUGGCUCAGUUCGGCGAGUGGGGAAUCGGCAAUCGGCCUGACCUGGAAGCAGAUGAUGUCGGCGUCGAGGGCGUCGAGGAGGCGGCGGAGCGAGCCGUGCUGCGCCACCCGCGGCCGCAGCCCGUUCACGUUGUACGUCACUAUCUUCACCAUCUCCCGCCGCUACGCGGAGGCACGAGAGGGAAACGCUUCGCUCUUCUCGGUAGCGGGUGCGGGGACGAAGAGGCCGACGGCCGGUGCCGCCGCGCCGGUGGCGACGGAGAUUGGGGACUGUGUGUGUGCCCGGGUGAAGAGUCCGCGGUCCCGACACGACCCGGCGGCGGCAGGCGAUCAGGUGCGGCUCGGGCCCUCGCGACUGACGGCAGCCGUCCGAUGGGAGUGGCAAGGCUGAGAUCUAAAGUUUAGGAUGGUGUAUCCAAAUACUUCGUACUAAAGUUCAGAACCUGCCACAUUGGAUAUUUGAUACUAAUUAUAAAUAUUAAACAUAGACAAAUUAUAAAACUAAUUGCACGGAUGGAUUCUAAUUUGCGAGACGAAUCUAUUAAGCCUAAUUUGCUAAUGAUGGAUUAAUUAGGCUUAAUAGAUUCGUCUCGCGAAUUAGUAUAGGGGUUCUGCAGUUAGUUUUAUAAUUAGCUCAUGUUUAAUCCUCCUAAUUAGCAUCUGAACAUCCGAUGUGAGAGCAACUCUAAGAGUUUCCCAAAAAAUUCUUUCCUAAAACUAUAUAUUGGGGGCUCUUCCAUAAAUUUUCCAAAAAAACAUAUCAACCGACAGUAAAUCGUUAAUAAUUAGUCCUCAAUAUUUCAAAACAGGCCACGUUAUUAUAAUUAGACCUAACGCGGCACCUCCCUGCUCUCUCCCCGUCUCAUUCUUUCUUUUUCUUCCUCCAACCGAAGAAGAACCGAAACAGAGUGCGGCCGUGAGCUUCCCCAAUCACGGAGCGGAGCAGAGGACAAAGACCACCCCGGCAACCUCAUCGUCAACGUCGUCAAUCACCUGCACGGGCCCUUCCUCCUCACCUGGAACGGCAUCAAGCAGCGCAAGAACAUCGUGGCUCGCUAUUUGCAAGGCGAGGGCAUGGAAGCCAUGGACGGGCUUCCGUGCAGGGAUGGACGACUUCUUGUCUCGCUUCGCCGUGACUGACGAGCACGGUGACAAGAGCAUACGGCCGCGAUGGCGCGACGCGGACACCAGCUUCCUCCUCGCCACGUGCGAACGCCACACGACGCCGUCGGCGCCCUUACGUGGUUUGUCUGGUGAGUCUCCACCGAGCCCGGCCGGCGGGGAGGAUGAGGUCGUGCGCUAGAUCGGCGUCACGUCGCUCUCGCGCCGCCGCGUUGUGGAACUCUUGCUUUUCGCUCGCUGGUUGCAGCACACUGUGGUCAUGGCCACCGGCUGUCGCACGAUGCAUGCAGGCCGGCGUCUGAUGAGGCCACAUGCACCGUGCCCGGACACUCUCGGCUUUUACCGGCGAAACUAUGACCACAGUGCAUCCACGUAGGUAGGCUACCUCGCCCGACGUCGUGGCGGCCGCGACCACAGCACGUCCCUUCCAGAUGACGCGCUGCAGGAAAUUUCGGGAUUGGGGAAGAAUCGACCCCCCGCGUAUAUGCGGGGCGACGGAGAGGUAAAUUUUGUUUGUUUUUCCUCUAAAUAAGGCCGAGUUUAACGAGCACCGGUAACGAGCGGUUGCUGUACAUGCGGGCGAAAGCGACGGGUGCGCAGUACGCCUACGGCGCACUAGUGCCUGCCGCACUGGCGUCGCCGGCCGCCUCGCCGGUCGCACCUCUCGCCGUCGCGGGUCACUGCCAGCGACUCGGCUGGCUGUGUGCCAUUUCUACCACGGCAGAGGUAGCUCGUGCUCGCAGUUGCAGGUAGGCGCCGGAGAACCGAUCAAUUGCUGCGCUGGUCGCGCUCGCGCUCGGUCGUUGGCAACUUGACACGCGCAGCCUUGGACGGAGCAACCCCGUCCUGUCGUCCUCGGCUCCUCGCAUCAUGGAUAAGAAAUCAAGAAUCCAUUCCCUUCGCUUGCACUGACCAGGCCGGCAUGGCAUGCGCUUCACUUCCCACUCAUCCGUUCCCCUCCGGAGAAAAAGAAAGAAAGAAACGCGCUUGACAGCGCAACGCCGGGACUUGUUUAACAGCCGGUGAGCGAUCGCGGAUCUGCUCGCCGCUGUCCUCGCAACGAUCGUUGGUCCGCACGGAGAAAACCAGUAGCAUUAACAACUGUUUCCGCACAUGCUGCGAUAAGCAGCAGUAGGGUUGUAGCCCGUAGCCGUAAUGCCGUGUGGGAUCUGAAACAUGGACAGAGAUUAUUUUUUUUUACAAUUCACGGGUAAACUUAGCCUAUACUAGUAGUAGUGUACAGCAUCAUGUGGGAGACGUGAGACUUUCUUUGUUUGUUUACAUGCUGGAGUUCGUUCUGUUUGGCCACGUCCGCCGGCGACUUUUUUCAGUUUUCUCCGGCCUCCUGUCGCCGUCGCCGUCCUUCUCUGUGCGGUACUACGCUCGUUUGGUGCUCUGGGCACGCCGCUUGCAUCGUCUUCCUUCUUGCGCUGCGCCCCACAAUGAAAAAGGUUGCGGUGGCUGGCGGACAGCGACGCUGCUCGUCCGGAGCUUUGUUCGGCCGUUGGUACGUGCCAAGCCGAAGAAGUGGCGUUGUCCAUCCCAUCCGUCCGGACAUGGGCCUUUUCCGUCUGAAAUCGAGGAUCGGGAUUGUGGUGGUGAUGUCGACUUCGGGAUUAAAGAACGGCUAUGCGCUCCUCCGUUUCCACUUGGCUGGCUCACACUCCACUCCACUCCCUCUCUGUAGGAAGGGGGUGUUUGGAUACGAGGUGUUAAACUUUAACAGUGUCACAUCGGAUGUUCGGAUGCUAAUUAGGAGAACUAAAUAUGAGCUAAUUAUAAAACUAAUUGCAGAACCCUGUGCUAAUCCGCGAGACGAAUCUAUUAAGCCUAAUUAAUCCAUCAUUAGCAAUUGGUUACUGUAGCACCACAUUGUCAAAUCAUGGACUAAUUAGGCUUAAUAGAUUCGUCUCGUGAAUUACACUUCAUCUGUGCAAUUAGUUUUGUAAUUAGCCUAUAUUUAAUACUCCUAAUUAGCAUCCAAACAUCCGAUGUGACAGGUGUUAAAUUUUAACACUUGGUUGCCAAACAGGCCCGAAAUGGUUUAGGAGAGUGUGCGGUUAAUCAAUCACAAGUUCGGCAUAUAGUUAGUUAUCUUUGAAUGCAUUUAGAUCGCUCAAGAUGGAAAUUGCAUGUAUGGUUUCUUUGAAAAAAAAAUGAAGUAACACCAUAAUUUCAUUUGGUUUGAGAAAUGAGUGGUCAAAUUUGUGUUCUCGAGAUGGUUCCGUUUUAAAUGCAAUGUUGAUUUUCACCUCUGGGCUCCUAUAAUUUAUUUAUAAAAUAAUAUAAUAGUUUGCCAAAAUAUGUGUCGCGUGUUCUUUAUGAUGAAUUAAAAAUGGAUCGUGGCUAUUAUUAGGGCUUGUUUGGUAGAACUCUGGCUAAAUAUUCCAGCUCCAGCUUCUCUAAUGGAGCGACUUCUCUAAUGGAGAUGAAACCUUUUUGAAAAUGUUUGGCAAAAUGACUCCUCCUAUGUUUUUGGAAUGCACGGGAGAUGUCAAUGUUUAAAUUAUCCCUAACUAUUUGAUUUGGUUGUAUAGACAACAAAAUAAUUAGGAAUUUAACCAAUAAUUUCUCUUUUAUUUUUUAUAUUUUUCCGUUCUUUUUUCUUUUUUCUACCUUCCUUUUUUCCAUCUUACUUCUCUCUGCUUUAUUCUUUCUUAUCCGUUCAUUUUGACUCUUUUUUAUCUCUUCACUGUGGCGCACUCGCCUAGCUCCGUGGCGCCGCUUCGACCUGCCCCGCAACGCAUCGCAUCCUCCGUCCCUCACCAUGCGUGCUGCUGGCUACUACCCCAUGUCUGCCGCUGCCCCGAGCAUGCUGCUCCGUCGUUGCUCCCCAACCACGCGAGGGAUCCAAUGCUGUCAGGCGAGGCCGGCCGAGCACCGGCCGCCGGGCCAAGUGCUCGCGCCGCCGACGGGCUGCGCCUCUUGUUUGCAGCUUGAGAAGAACGACAGUGCGCCAGGUGUGGUAGCGGGGUUGGGUUGCAGUGGCUUUUUUGGGUGUAAUUUCCAUGAACGUCAGGGGCAAUUUAGUAACAGUGCAUCAGUAGGAGCUGCACAGAGCCAGUAUUUUUUGCUCCGACUGCCUAGUGGUGCUUCACAUGCGAAGCUCUUUUCUAUUUGUCCAUUUGGUAGAGCUGCUCAAUAAGCCGGAACUGGAACCUGUCAAAAAGCUUUACCAAAGGAGCUCUCAGUCAUUUCCUAAUCAUCACGACCCUGAUUAAGAAAGGACUCUAUUGCUAGGAUGGAUCGCGAGAUUUUUGCAGCGACUAGGCAAUACCUUGUUUUUGUCGAUGGACAACAGCUCUUGAUACAGGUUUUUCCUUUAUGACAAAUGGAUUUCUCCACUUGAUUCAUUGAAGGAACAAAUGGAAUUGUUUCGUGCUAGAUGGCUAAUAUUAAUUUCCAUAUAUAAUAGUGACAUUUCAUUAGCUGUAACCAUUCAAUGAUACCAAACCAUUUGGAUAUCAAGCAGCAUGAAAAAGAUUAGGCGUGUUUGGUGUGAUCUACAAUAUCUGAAGUUUGUAGCGUACAUUAAAUAAGUCGAAAUCAAGCAUUCAUAUGAGAAAAUAAAUAGUUCUGAAUUGAAAUGAAAAUCAGAUCUCACGAAUGUUGUUGGAUCUGAAGCAUGGCAAAUAAGUGACGGGCUCAAUCAGCAAAACACACACACACACACAAAGUCGUUAAUAACAAGCACAUUCCCAUCUAACGCAUCUUAUAAACUCUACAAAUAUGCAUCUCAGCAUCUGAAUCACAAAUGCAACUCGUCUGCGGUGUGCCAAACCUGCCUGCCUGCAACUGCAAAUGUGCGAUGCAGUAACCCGAUGGAUCCCAGAGGAGGACGGGCAGGACGCCUCCCUCCACGUGGUGCGGCACCUAACAUUCAGCCCGGCACGUCGCCAGCCAGAGUGCCAGACCCAGCCACUGCCAGCCAGGCAGUAGCCAGCCAGCCAACCACCCCCGAUGCCGCCCGAACCGAUGGAUUCCAUUCCAUUCCUCGGCGCGGAGCCGGUAGCCAGCCGCAUUGACCCCGCACGCACCGGCACCGCACAGGCGCACACCCGGGGCGAAACCCCGCAAAACCGACGCGAAUAUAGCGCAGGACACCGCGCCGGGACACGACGGCCGUUGCUGCCGUCCGUCCCGUGGCCUUCGCGGCCUGCAGCCAGCUCAGGCGCGCACGCGCACGCACGCGCGCGCGGCCAACCCGGCCGUCCCCCAAAAAAACCAAAACCAAUGCCAAAUUAACUCCCCACCACCACCGCCCCGCGGCUCCCACCCCCCCGUUCUCCUCCUCUUCCCUCCUCCCCCUCCUCCGAUUCCCCCCAAUUUCCCAACCCUGCGGAGGAGGCAGGGAGGAAGGCCGGACCUCCAACAGCCCGCCCUCCGCACCGCCGCUGCGGACCGGGCCCGUUGCCGGCCGCCAUUCGGGUGCCUGACCGCGGCGACAGGGGGGAGCGUCGCGUCGCGUCCCGCCGCCGGCCGAGAUGGACGACCUCAAGCAGAUCCUGGCGCGGCCGAUCCAGCUCGCCGAGCAGGUAUAAAGUGGUCCGACGAGGCCUACACGUUCCGGCAGGAGUGCAUGGAGCUCAAGGCCAAGGUCGAGCGCCUCGCCGGCCUGCUCCGCCAGGCCGCGCGCGCCGACCUCUACGAGCGCCCCGCGCGCCGCAUCUUCGACGACACCGAGAAGGCGCUCGACAAGGCGCUCGCCCUCGUCGACAAGUGCCGCGCCCACGGCCUCGUCCGCCGCGUCUUCACCAUCAUCCCCGCUGGCUCCUUCAAGAAGAUGACCAACCAGCUCGACAACUCCAUCGGCGACCUCUCCUGGCUCCUCCGCGUCUCCUCCUCCGCCAACGACGACGACGACUUCGACGCCCACAUCGGACUCCCGCCCAUCGCGCAGAACGAGCCCAUCCUCUUCCUCAUCUGGGAGCAGAUCGCCGUGCUCUACACCGGCAACCUCGACGCCCGCGCCGACGCCGCCGCCAACCUCGUCUCGCUCGCGCGCGACAAUGACAGGUACUCCAAGCUCAUCAUAGAGGAGGACGGUGUGCCGCCGCUGCUCAAGCUCGUCAAGGAGGGCCGCCUCGAGGGACAGGAGAACGCCGCGCACGCCGUCGGCCUCCUCGGCCGCGACCCGGAGUGCGUCGAGCAGAUGGUGCAAGCCGGUGCGUGCCUCGCCUUCGCCAAGGUGCUCAAGGAGGGGCCCAUGAAGGUGCAGGCCACGGUGGCCUGGGCCGUCUCGGAGCUCGCUGCCAACCACCCCAAGUGCCAGGACGCCUUCGCGCAGCACAACGUGAUCCGGCUGCUCGUCGGCCACCUCGCCUUCGAGACAGUGCAGGAGCACUCCAAGUACGCCAUCACGUCCAAGAUGUCCAUACAUGCCGUGGUCAUGGACAAAAAGAACAGCACCGGUUCAGGUUCGGCAGACUUGCUGGAUGCCGCAGACCACAGCACCAUGAGGUACCCGACGGGGCACGCUUCGCAGAGCAAGAAUGAGAUGCACAGUUUGGUGCAGUCCACCAUGGCUGCCAAGUCUAAUGGAGGCAGUGGUAAGCACGUAGCUACUACUACUAAUGGUGGUGUUGUGGCAACGAAGCAGCACAAUGCGUCAUUGUCAGGAACGAGUACAAGGGGCAGGGAGUUCGAGGACCCUGAGACAAAGGCAUUAAUGAAAGCCAAUGCUGCAAAGGCAUUGUGGCAGCUCGCCAAGGGCAAUGCAGCUAUCUGUAAGAGCAUCACAGAGUCAAGGGCUCUGCUCUGCUUUGCGGUUCUUCUUGAGAAAGGUGAAGGUGAUGUGCAAUAUAAUUCUUCUAUGGCUCUCAUGGAGAUCUGCUGUGUCGCCGAGCAGAAUUCUGACCUGAGACGAUCAGCAUUCAAGCCAACUUCUCCUGCUGCCCGGGCUGUUGUUGACCAGCUCCUACGUGUUGUCGAGAAGGCUGAAUAUGACGAUCUCCUAAUUCCCUGCAUUAUGUCUCUAGGUUGCUUGUCCAGAACCUUCCGUGCUACAGAGACUCGGAUUAUUGGACCAUUGGUGAAGCUUCUUGAUGAGAGGGAAGCAGAUGUCUCUCGAGAAGCAGCAAUUGCCCUGACCAAGUUUGCGUGCACAGAUAAUUACCUGCACGUCGACCAUUCUAAAGCGAUCAUCAAUGCAGGCGGAGCGAAGCACCUAGUUCAGCUUGUGUACUUCAGUGAGCAAGUGGUUCAGAUUGCAUCACUCACCCUUGUAUGCUACAUUGCACACAAUGUUCCAGACAGUGAGGAGUUGGCACAAGCCGAAAUCCUCACGGUACUUGAAUGGGCUGCCAAGCAAGCUUACAUGAUGCAAGACCCGAUCAUCGAGAACUUGUUGCCAGAGGCAAAGAUCAGAUUGGAACUGUAUCAAUCCAGAGGUGCAAAAGGCUACCAUUAGAUUACCUGCUGUGGAAAGGCAUGAAGGAAGAAUUUUAAGGCGUUCUUCUUUGGAUUGGCCAAGUACUGUAUAUACAUCCAGCAGCUUCUAUGUAUACUCUUGCUAAACCUUUUUGAUCCCCAACAUGGCAAAAGCUGUUGAAGUUGCAUCUGUGGUUGGGUUCUCGAUACAGGGAAGUAUUUUUUUUGUUUGUAGGCUUGGAUGUUCAGAACUCCAGUUCCUCUUGUUGGUGGUAUAGUUUUGGGAGAUUAGCAUCUUGUACUCUCUUUGGCCUAAUGAUGUAUCGUGUAUAUUACAUUUCACUCGUUAAUCUGAAAAAUAUUCUUAAAUCCAAGAGCCUCAUAGUUUUCUUGAGUGUGACCUCAUGGUUUGCUUUGGCCUUUUCUUGUAGGUUGCGUUUGAAUUCAGAAAUUUGCUAAUUUUGUUUACUGUUCACUUCAUGACUAUGCACUCCAUUCCUUAUGCUUAAUGCUUAAUUGGAGAUCCUUAUCUUCUGACUAGUUGGCUUAUCUAUGAGAGAAAAUUUCUUGAAACCGAGAGCCUAACAUUUUUCUUGCAGAUGACCUCAUGGUUUUCUUGACGAUUUCUUGUAAGUAGCAUCUGAACAAAGAAGGUUGCAGUCAACUACAGUAUAGUUUACUGCAUGUUCAGUUUUCCAACUCUCAAUCUCAUGUUUUUUAUGCACUUACCUAUUUGACUUUGACUCAGCAUCUGAAAAUGACAUUGUUGACUUGUCUCAGCAUCUGAAAAUGUCAUUGUGAUUAGCACUACCAUGCUUGAGAAUGUAUGUGGCCUCCCAUUUAUUUCAUAUGUCAUCUUUCAUAUUAGUGUAUUACUGCACAUGUGAGUAUGUUUAUAUUGGGGUAAUUCUAAUGUUGUGGAGGCUAUGGCUGGAGGUGGAUGAAUAUUCUUUUUUUUUUGAAACUUGGGUGGAUGAAUAUUCUCAUGUUCUGAAAUAGUAGCAUUUGGCUCUGAUUCUCUGAUGGCUGGCUGUGGCCCUGUUUUCAUGUCAUACAGCUAGCUCCAUACACAGUACAAGAACAGUAUUUUCUUCAUAACUUUCAUGUGAGACUAAUCUGGAUGUAACCUGCCUAGUAUUUGCUAACUCUUAGUGUGCCUCUUUGUUCAGUCCAGACAAAAGAUGGUCAGUUUCUUGUUAUGUGAUGUGACCUGUUGAUCAAUUAUUGCUGACCAAAAAAGUCUCAACAGGACCAGCAGAUCUUUUGUAGUUUCCCUAUAAUUGGUCCAUGGAUCCAAGAUAGCAUCAACUUUUUCGGUGCAUGAACCAUGUUCAGGUGUUCAUCUUUGUCUAUAUCUUUUUGGUGCAUGCAUCCAUUUUGGAUCUCAGUCUCAUUCCAUAAUCCAGCUUUUCUAUCUUUUUCCUUGCCAUGCAGACCAGGUCCUCCUCCGUUGUCCACAGUAGCAGAUGGUCCUAUCCCACGGCAGGAACUGGAUGUGUACGAGUGCAGGUAGCGUGACCACCAUGUGGAGCUCGUCCGUUCUUCACAGUGCCAAUGUCUGGCCUGUUCAUGAUUUGAUAGUUUCAUGCUUUCGUGGACCCGUCAUGCCAACUCGACUAUUCCGAUCGGUGAGGUGCUGGUCCACCAUCUCUGAUGAACAUGGCUGUGUUCUUGACUGUUUUCUCAACGUUUUGAUUGUAGUUUUCAGUUUGACGGUUUCAUUUCCUCGAGCAAAGAAUGUCUGACUGCCAAAGCCCGGGCCUCUGAAUCUUUUAUGUCUUAUAACUGGGAAUCGUCAAAUGCAAAGCGCAAGUGGUUGUUGCGGUAGGAGAGAAGAUGAUGCUCUUGCGAACCAUGGGUUAGUUGGCGUGGUUCUUCGGUGGGUGACGCUGAUGGUUGUUUGUCUUGAUCUGUCAUUCGAUUGUUCAGUGUGUUGAGUAUAAUGUAAACGGGGCAGGCCGACAGGCAGCUAAUAGGUCGACGUGCCUACCACUAUAGCAGAUCAGAUAUGUCUUCACGACUGCUUUGUCAUGGUACUCUUGUUUUGUGCCAAUGUUCUGCUUCAAGACGGCUGCAGGACCUGUAAGCUUUGAUUCUUGUUCUUGGAGGUAGCCACGUGGUUUCGGUCGUACUAUACAUCCUCUCCUAAACGGUCUUGUCUGUUGUCUGCAAAGUUAUACUCCCUAUCAGAUGGAUCGUGAUUACAUUAGUGUUAAGAGCGUCUCCAAUUGUAUAAGUUAGCUGAUAGCUCAUAGUUGAUGUGGUCCUAUAUAGUUUUGAAGAUCGUGUUGGGAGAGAGAGUUGUAUCGAAAAGUGAGUGAGAUUAGUUCUUCAUUCUACGCUAGUCUCGUACUUAUUCUAACCUAGACUAUUGUGUGAGAGAGUAUUGCACUGUUUAACUAGUAAAACUCUAAGCUAGACUAUUGCUCAUAUCUAUUUGACUUCGCAUGUUUCUCCGUCCUCACCUUUUCUUUUUGAGUAAAUUCUCCGUCCUCAGUCCUCACCUGUCACCUGUUGAAAUCACAGCACGAUUCGGAUAUAACACUUGAGCAAGUUAGACUUGGGCCUGACACAAUGGUCCACAAUUGCAUCAUCUCCGGAGGGCUUCACUAGUGGGCCGAUAUUUAAUUAGUGCAGCAGUAGUAACUCGGGCUUUCCUUCUGACCACUCAAAGGGCCUGGGCUCGUUCGUGGUGUUCUUUUCGAAUGUUGUUGUUGUGUCAUCCCGCCGCCGUGUUUCUUUUUACGGUCAAAAGUACUUAGUAUGUACCAUAUAUACAUGUGAUUUUUUUUAAAAACUGUAUGGCUGUAUACAUGGCAGGUGGUGGGUCCUGGUCUCCUGGACCCUGGUGUAGCGGCUAGCGGGGAGAUGAUCACACACAAAAUAGAAAAUACUCAUCGACCCAAUGAUGAGAACACACAGCCCAGCAAAAGAUAGAAAUUCUGAGCAUAGCAGGAGAAUCUCGCAAUUGUCUAGGAUUAAUCCCGUCAGGGAGUGGUUAGAACAAUGCACCUUUGAUUAAAAAAAUUCACGGUUUCCCCCCGAAAAUGUGGAUUGUACGGUCGGUUUAUUUUGUCUGCGGCACUCGUAAACAGGGCUGCCGUCCAUCUGAACUCAAGGCAAACAAAAAAUUUGCGUGCGGCUGAUUUACUAAUAAACAAACAAGUACUCCCUCUGUUUAUCUUAUAGCACACUCAUAUCAAAAUUCAAACUUUACAAUCUUUGAUCAAUAAUUUAGUCAACUAUUUUUUAUAAUAUAAACUUUAUAUGGUUAGAUUUGUAAUCAAAUGUACUCUCCAAUUAUUAUAAGUUAACUAUAAACAAUAGAAUGUAAGAUAAAUGAACGGUCAAAGUGUAAUCUAGGAGACCAUGUCAAGUUAUAUCACAUCUUAUAAAAAUAAACAAGGGUGUACUGGCCAAAGUAAUCACUGCUAGUUGUUUAUAGCAAAUAGAUUUGCAUAUAAAAAAUUUAAAACCAUAUAUAACGGGAAGUACAUGUGUGUUUUUUUUUUUAAUGGGAUGAUACAUGUGUUGAUUCGCUUGCAUAGCCUUUAAGAAGGAUGAGACCAUUAGAGCAAUUAAGGGCCUGUUUGGCAAGUAGGUGUUAAAGUUUAACACCCGUCACAUCGGAUGUUUGGAUGCUAAUUAGGAGUAUUAAAUAUAGACUAAUUACAAAACUAAUUGCACAGAUGGAGUGUAAUUCGCGAGACGAAUCUAUUAAGCCUAAUUAGUCCAUGAUUUGACAAUGUGGUGCUACAGUAACCAUUUGCUAAUGAUGGAUUAAUUAGGCUUAAUAGAUUCGUCUCGUGAAUUAACACAGGGUUCUGCAAUUAGUUUUAUAAUUAGUUCAUAUUUAGUUCUUCUAAUUAGCAUCCGAACAUCCGAUGUGACACUGUUAAAGUUUAACACCUCGUAUCCAAACACCCCCUAAAGGAAAAAAAUUAGGUAUGUGCACCGUGUUAACUGCAGUUAUGGUGAUAUUUAUUAUUGUUUUAUUUAAAAAAGACUUAUGCCAUCGUUGUGUAAAUUUGUUCCCUUUGUUCCACUGCGAUAGUGCCAAAACUUGUUCAAUUUAUGCCGCUUGAAUUAGUAUGCCAACAGUAUAAGUAGAGCUUGAGUCUAAAUUUUACAUAAGCAAUGGCACGAUGUUUAAACUGUAACUGACAUAGUGGCACAAACCUGAUUCUUCCAAGAUUAAAUCAUACUACCUGUAUCCCAAAAUAUAGCAAUGUUUAGGUUUGCCCAAAAUUAAACUUCUUAACUUUGACCAACAGUAUUUUAAAAAUAAUUCAUUUUAAAUAGAAAAUAUUAUAUGAUAGUUGGUUUCGUGUUGAAUAUGUUAAACUAGCUUUUGUGUUUAUGAGUUUUGCUAUUUAUAGUCAAAGUUUAAAAUAUUUGACUAAGGACAAACGUAAAUGUACUUAUAUUAUGGGACGAGAGAUGCAUAAACUGAAAAAAAAAAUACCACGGCACGUAAUGCUGACAAAAUGAGCUCUAGGUCACCCUGCAAAAAACAAAAAAAGAAAGAAGAAAAAAGUGAGCUCGAAGUCCACCUGUCAGAAAAAACGCAUAUGCCAAUUCCCUACUCACAUGAACUAGUGAUGAUACGGAGCAAUUUGGCCCAAAGACAAAACACUUUGUGUAGCUUUGCUUUUAGCAAAUAGUUCACGAGCUCUAUCUCAAAUACAGGAAGAAGAACACGAGCUGUUGCAGGCAGAAAAUGUAGAACACUCCAUGGAAAUGGAGUCCUGAACUGUCGUCAAUAGAAUUUGCAACUAAAAAUGAGCUGCACUUGCGUCUGUCAGAGUGUAAGAUGGAAGCAGCGUGUAAUUAAGUAGUGAUGGCAGAGAUGGGAUGAAAAUGAAAUACGACUUUGGGCAAAUGCAGAUGCCGAUUUACGCACACUUGGCGGCGAAUUCGGAGCUCCCUCAGUGAGAUUCUCCACCGCGAAUCCCGCUUGCCGCCCGCCCUGGGAUAACGAAUGUCUCUGCAGCCCCACACAUGGACACGGCGCAUCUCCUCUAGAUUCACAACGCCCGUGUUCCUCUCCCGGUUCAAAGCACUCGCUUCAAGCUACUGUAAAGCCGAAGCGGAUCGGCGAUCUAGCGUAAAGCAACCAUGGUAAAAACUGCAAGUGAUCAUCAUUAGAAAUUUAGAAGUAGAAUCAGACGGCGCAGCGGAUCGGUAAUUAUGCAUGCUUGGUAGCAGGUUUAUCUCUCUUUCCAUCUUCCAUUCGCAGAUGGAGAUGGGCGCGCACGGCGCACAUGAGUCGCGCUGAUUGUUUCUUGCUGACAACUGACGCAAACCACGUGGAUGCCCCCGAUUGGGAGCUGCCCACUCGAACGUUGAGCCAGCUGCAUCAAGAUUCAAGGCCAGUGCCAGAGGCGCCACGAGACAGCGCUGCCCGAUGCAGCACUGCAGCUGCCGGCUGCCGCAGCCCGCUCCUAUGGUUGGCGCCUUGGCGGGCACAGGAGGAGUACAGGACAACCUGUUGACCGCUCACUGCGUCACUGACCCCUCUACACGCACCACCGUCCAUCACGAGCUCCCAUGUCCAAGCUCUCCUCAGCUCAGCUCCUCCUAUAAGUCGGCGCAUGAUUGCAUCGCUCCCUCUACAAAGUCCAAUCAAAUCAAGAACGAGACGCUGGGCGGCUAUAGCCAUCUCUCCUGUCUUCUGAUCUUGCUAGCCGUCUCUACCUUUCCGCAAUGGCGGCUCAUCUGCUGCUCUCGGUGUCUCUCCUUCUGAGCUCACUCACCGGUACCGCGACGACGUCCUCGACGACCUGUCGAUAGCCUUUUGCAUGCGUGGCGACGCGGGUGUGCAAUGCUGCGUGCUUACGGCGUCGUGUGUUGUUUGCUGUGUGCAGGGGCGGUGUCCACGACGUUCACGCUGACGAACUCCUGCGGCUACACGGUGUGGCCGGGGCUCCUGUCGAGCGCGGGGUCGCCGCCGCUCUCCACCACGGGCUUCGCGCUGGCGGCGGGGGAGUCCCGCUCCGUGGACGCGCCCCCGGCGUGGUCGGGCCGCAUCUGGGGCCGCACGCUCUGCGCCGCGGAUCCGGGCUCCGGCCGCUUCUCCUGCGCCACGGGCGAGUGCGGGUCCGGCGCGGUGGAGUGCGCGGGCGGCGGCGCCGCGCCGCCCACCACGCUCGCCGAGUUCACCCUCAACGGCGCCGGCGGGAUCGACUUCUACGACGUGAGCCUCGUCGACGGCUCGAACCUGCCGAUGGUGGUGGUGCCGCAGGGCGGCUCCGGGGCCACCUGCGGCGCCACGGGGUGCCUGGUGGACCUGAAUGGGCCGUGCCCCGCCGACCUGAAGGUGGCGGGCCCCGACGGCGCCGGCAUCGCCUGCAAGAGCGCGUGCGGCGCGUACGGGCGGCCCCAGGACUGCUGCAGCGGCGACUACGGCACCCCGGCGACGUGCCAGCCGUCGGACAGCUCGCAGUUCUUCAAGAACGCGUGCCCGCGCGCCUACAGCUACGCCUACGACGACGCCACCUCGACCUUCACCUGCACGUCUGGCACCGUCAGUUACCUCAUCACGUUCUGCCCUAGCAUGUCCAGGUAAACACCCAUCCUAGAUAAUGCAAAGCUAUUAAGCAAUAGUACGCGCCAUCAAUUACUAGUAGCUAGAGAAUGCCUUGUUGUACUCAUGCGUUGCGUACCAGACACUGCUUCUGGAAAGCCCAGGCAGACGCGAAUCAUUGGCACGAACGUGCAUGGCCAUCAAUGAAACAGAUGUUUUGUUGAUCGAUGAUCAUGUACGCAUAUGAUCACCCGUAGGUUUAACGUUUUGUGCCACCAAAAUGAUAUCCUAACAAUGUACAUGACGGUUGGUACGAUAACAGAUCCUGUCACGUCCAUGUCCGUUGUUCCCGCUAACCAAACUCUUGUUUCCACUGCACCAGCCUCAAGUCGUCCGUGAGCAGCAGCGGCGCCGGCGCCAGCACGAACCCGUCAUCCGGCGGCCCGGGCCUGCCCCUGAUCAACGACACGGUCUCCUUCGCCGGGCGGGGCGACGGGUACUCCUCGUACCCCUACGCGUCCGCGUCCGCGUCGGCGCCGUCGCUGUCGGCCCCAGGCCCCCUCGCGCUCGUCGCGGCCGCCGCGCUCACAUGGCUCUGCGCCGCCCCGCGCCACCGGCUACGGUUGUAGAGCGAGCGACCGCCCCCACGCCGCCACGCGCAUGGGCCGUGGCACCGGGCGCGGUCGCUGCUGCUCCCCCGCGUCCAGGGGUGGUAGGGAGGCAGCGGCCAGCAGGCACGGCAGCCCUCGUGGAGCCGCGUGGCCGCCCAUGCGUCGGCCAUGUGCCGGCCGGCCCAGACGUUUUGACCUCGGGCCGUAGUGCUAAUUGUAUAGAGAGAGACUAAAAUCAUUGUGGAUCGGAGAGGGGUAGUAUGAUUUUUGCAAGCGAAGCAAGGUGGUCUCGGUACAGAGCUUGAUAUUGUUUAAUUAGGAUGGAGGGAGUACCCUCAAGAUCGAGAACUGAGAUUCCUUUUCGAGAUGGGUGAAUACACAGCAGAACAGAACAGAACCAGGUGGGUUGAGGACCUGGGGAAAUGUGUGCGCACGAUGGGUCGGUGGAUCACAAUCACAUGACUGGCAUGGGAUUAACUUGUUUUCGUGGUCUCCGAAAAACUGAACCCCAGACCAUGGAUCGAUUGGAUGUUUAUUUUUUUUAUUUUUCAUUUCUCUUAAACACAAAAAAAUUGGAUCGUGCCAUACUGGCAUGGGGUUGGUCUCUGAUCCUGGCGCGAGGACGGAGUUUAAACAAGUGCAGGGAUGGAUCUUGUUGGUUACUGCUUAUCUUGCACUCUUGCUCGGCGCCAGCAGAAAUGCAUUGCCACUUUACCAGUGUGAAAUCUGAUGGCACAGUUGCACUGACGGGUAUUGAGUAGUCACUGUCUGAUUCCGAUGCGAUUUUAUGAAUGCAGCGUACUACUCGGUACUCCUACAAGGUCGGCAGCAGAUCAGAUCAGCUCAGCUGGCUGCCUGCCUGCCUCAAAGCUGAAAAAAGGGCUGGGGAGCUAUAGGACUCUGUGUGUGUGUGUGACUGGGUCCACCUAAUUAGGGCACUCUGCACUGCAGGCAUGCAUUCAGCAUUCAUAUGGCAGACGGCGGAUGCUGAUUCUUUUGUCCCUUGCACAGCUAGAGCGGAAAUAUUCACCACCCACCAGUAAAAUCCAGCAACUGGUUUCUCCUGCUUAUUUUUAGCACCCGUCACAUCGAAUGUUUACAUACUAAUUAGAAGUAUUAAACGUAGACUAUUUACAAAACUCAUUACAUAAGUGGAGGCUAAACAGCGAGACGUAUCUAUUAAGCCUAAUUAAUCAUUACCUACUCAUUAAUUGAAUAUAUUUUUGCAUGUACAAAAUCUGUGAAAGUUUUGUUUUUCAUCCUGAGAUGCAGUGAAAAGAUAAAAUAAAAUCCAUUUCCAAAAAACACGCGUGAGAAGAAAACUAGGAAUAAAGACCUUUUGUCUCGGGUGCUAACAGCAACCGGGACAAAAGGACCCCCUUUUAUCCCAGUUGCGAAGCGGCAACCGGGAUAAAGGGGUACUUUUCCUCUCCCGCCCAGACUUACCCUUUUAUCCCGAUUGCCACUGCAACCAAGAUAANNNNNNNNNNNNNNNNNNNNNNNNNNNNNNNNNNNNNNNNNNNNNNNNNNNNNNNNNNNNNNNNNNNNNNNNNNNNNNNNNNNNNNNNNNNNNNNNNNNNACUAGCACCCUCCCAUCUGAUGCUUUCCGCUCCUCACCGCGACCGCAACGCGCCAGUGUUCUCACCUUAGUCCCUGGACUAAUCCGAAUGUUUCCCUGGUCACCCCUGUUUAGCCUCCACUUAUAUAAUGGGUUUUAUAAAUAAUCUACGUUUAAUACUCCUAACUAGUAUCUAAAUAUUCGAUGUGACACGUGCUAAAAAUAAGCAAAGGGAACUAAACGUCACUGGACUCUUUUGACUCCUGUUUGUUGGUACUACUACUGUACCGUGCUUGCAAGGGUCGAUGUCGACUUGACAUCCACAAUUCGCAAGCAAAACUUGUUUGGGAACUGAAAAAUGCCAAGGAGUCUGACACGAGCAACAGACAACUGAGACAUGGCAAAAUAUAACAGCUGGGCCCGAGUGUACGUGCGAGUGGCCCAAGUAUUGCUGGGCCUCCUCUCUGCAUCCACAAGUCCACAAACCAAACAUGCUGAUGCUGCUGUGCUGCAGUCUUUACCAAGAACUGAAACAGCUGCUCCAUGGCAAAUCCCAGAUCAGCAAAAAUGCAAGAUAAAAAGACCCAUCCACUCAGCAAAAAAAGCAGGCAGGGGUCCCUGUGGAUCAGCAGCAUCUAACAGGUAAAUUUAGAUUAUCUCCAUCUUGCCAGCAUCUAUCCACGGGACCGUGGCAGGCAGGAAUAGCAAGGAAAGGGAGCGGCCGGAUAACCAAAAACAACACAUGCUGACACCCCCGUAGCCCCCACCAUCACCAGAAACGGCGCCCGCACAGGCCAGAGAUGGCCGGACGCGAUUGAAAAGCGGAUGCACUGAAGACGCAGAUGUGCAAUGCCGACAUGGCAGACGUAAUAGCUUUAUAUCGCGGGGCGGAAAAAGUGCCUUCCCAAAUCUCUCCUGCUUUUCAAUCCGGUCCAUGAGACUCUACGCACACGCACUCCUUGAUUUCUUUUAGCAUACAACUUGACUUGAUGGUUUUAUCGCUUUGCCUGACAUGGCAUUGCCAUGAGGCAUCUAUUCCAUCGCAUCGUCUACCGUCGUCUCCAACACUCUCGUUACCUCGCCAGAAGCUCCAUUCUACCACACGAUCAGACAAAAGCUCGUAAUAAUCUAUCUAGAAACUGGAUGAUCUCGCUUGCUUUACGCUUAUAUUGUUUCGUGCUCGAAGCGCAUUUGCCUUCCUGUUCCUCCAGUCAUGUCGAGAUCAAUCUGGCACGGCGUAGACUCCACCUCAGCAGCACUUAGGCAUUGCCGCAUUGACUACAGGUCUUCAGCCCCGUUGCGUUAGAGGCCACGUGAAACAGUAUUAACCUAGUACGUAGGGGCCAAAGCAUCCCCUUUUCAGCACCCUCUUUUGACGACGAUCUGAUCUGAUCCGUUUAUACUUUGCCCCAGCCAUGCGUCCAAGAACACAGGAGUUAGCAUCGUUAGCAGCAGCAUGGACUCCUAUUUGGAGGUUUCCUUUUGGGGCCAUUUCUCCUCGUCGACAAGCAAAGGAUCCCACUGUGCUUAGUCCGGGGUGACAGGUUCUGAGAAGACACAAAACGGGCCAAAUGCAGAGGAGAUAGGUAGGUUGGGGGUACGCAGGGCUGGGACCCUGCUCGUCGCCAAUCGCCAUGGUUGACGCUUGACUGGAGCUUUGGCAAUGCCAAUGCAGUUCGAGAACAGUGGAGACUGACACACGAGAUAUCCCCUUUUUUUUGCCGUUCCCUCUUUUCCUUUUGUGAGACAGAGGAGAGACGAAGCCGGAAAGGUCCCAGCGGCGAAGCGGCAAAAGGAGAGGAGGGAUCGGAGAUAUACUAGUGCCUAAUCUCUUAUCCGAUAUGUUGAUCAUCUCGGGCGCUUUCCACGGCAGCAAAUUGUGUGCCGAGGUUGGUGCGCCCGUCGUCGCUUUUGCUUCCUCCUGAAGACAAAGGGAAUCGACCAGAGCCUCCAGGGCCAGGGGAGAAGGAGUAGAGGAAAUGGGGAUUAUGUUUUGCAGCGGACAAUGCGUACAGGCAGGUCAGCUCUUCGUUUGUCAGGCUGCCGGACGAACAAAGGUUCAGCUUAACAUUGCAAAUGCAAUGCGUGCAUUGCAGCAAGUCAGUUCUUGCUAUGUUUGACGCAUUUAGGCAGGUUGUUGAAUGUUUUAUCAUUAUUAGGCUUGCACUCAGGCGUAUUUUUCACAUUUUGGCAAAGCCUUGAUUCCAGCUUGACUGGCCGAGUGAUGCCAGAGCGACUUCUGAAUCGGAAUUUGCAUGCUUAUACAUAAGACGGACAUAAGAUUUAUUUAGGGCCUCUUAUAUCUGAAAUAUGGAGAUUCCCACGAACCGGUUCAAGUUGCAAAAUGUGAGAGCAUUUCUCAUUCCAAACCAGGCCUCACGAUACUAAAUACUGAAUUUGUAACUGCACAAGUCUACAGACUGAAGUGGGGAACAUAUCAUUUUCAAGUGAAAAGGCAAGAACAGCACCUGUUGAAAUAUCUCGAAAACGAGCUUUAACGCAUGUCUCUGAACGGUGGAAAGAGCUCCACCCGGUAGCUGUCCCGCUAGAGCGAUCUCGGAGCGUUACCGCCGCUGCUCUGAGGAGACCGGAUCGAAUGCAGAGACUGUUCGACGAAUCUUUUGACACUGUUCCAGAAAAAAGCAGCAACCCUCGACGAUCCAACGUUGCACCAACGCCAUCGGUGCUGACUCGUGCUACGUCCUUCCUGAAAACGAUGCUCACUACCACGGUAAAUGGUACCGUACCGUGUCCCCCGCAGCCGACACGCUCCACGCCAACCACGUUGCCAUCCGUGUACCUGUCGUCCUGUUGCGCUAUCAGGACAAGCAGCCCCGCAGCCCUAGGACCGGCCGACGCUCAGGGCGGCACUGACCGGAUUGGAAGUUCAGAGGAGGCUCGUCCAAACAAACUGGAGCGGAACACGCCGGCCUUGUUGUGAACUGAAGCUCCUACGAACCUGAAACCGUGACGCGUGAGACACUGAGACGUGACCAAAGAUCAAAUCUCUGCGGUGGGAACGGGGAGGCCUGGCGUCACUCGCGUGCCUUGCAGACGGAUCAUGUCGGGCCGAAUCCGCCAUGGACAUUUGCGUCCCAAACAGACGCACGAACGCCGCGACAGGCCAACGCCACGGCGAAAGCAAGGCGACCGCCACGCCCGAACGGAGCCAAGCAGCAGACGCCAGACGGAGCCCGCGAGGUGAGGUCACCACGCUGAUCGCGAGUGCUCACCCGCCUGUCCACCAACACCGGACGGACGGACCGCGCGGAGGGAGGAGGACUCAUCAGUAUGGCACCGAGAAAACAAAGGAUCGGUAGCGCGGCAAAACGAAAUCCAACGCCAUGCGGCUUCGUUUCUGGGAGGUCUUUCUAUCAUUCUAUUGGGAGGGUGAUAAUAAUAGAUUUUUGUUCGCUUCAUUUCUGGCUGACUAAAAUUCAGUGCUGUCGGACUAGUUUUUUUUUUUGGAAUUACAUGAAACAGUUAUUUGAAGUCUAAUAUAUACCGACUGUAACUCCAACAAGAACUAACUAUGAAAAUUCGUUUGCCUCGCCCUUACAUUACAUGCAAGCAAUGCUAAAAGGGAAAAAGAAAAAGGAACUAAAUGGAGUGUGCAAUGCAAUGCACCCGAAAAAGCCGGUCUUGCGAUAGCUUAUCCGUCGUUUAUCACGUUACAUGCAUGAACACUCUCGUAGCCGAGGCAUCAGUUUUGUUUCUCUCUCUCUCUCUGUUUCUUUUGAGGAAAAAUCGAGUGUGCAAUGCACCUGAAAAUCGUCCUAAAAAGUGAUAGAAUAAGUGCACGGGGGGGUAAAUAAAGUCGCUUAAAAUCCCCAAUCCUAUCUUUUGAGAGACCUCCGAUUAAUAUCUGUGCGCAUAUCAUUGCUCGCCAUGAGGAGGGAAAGGAACCGAGCAAAACGGAGGUCGACGUGCCGGAGGCCGCUGACGUCAUCGUGAUCUAUAAAUGGGCAGGUGUGCGAUCGGGGUGAGCCUACACAAGCUAACCGACCCGGAAAAAAAUUCAGUGCAUCCUCCCCGCACGCGGAUCCCGUGGGCACCAGCCUCCUACUGAUGACGCGUGUCCAGCAGGAUGUCCGCUCGGCUCCGUUCCCAGCGCGUGGCUCGCACGUCUUCGGCUCACAGCGGACGAGUCCACGACGACGUAGCGCUCGGCUGGCAAGUUGGUUUCAGUUUUCCACUGCCCGGCUCGUAAUACAAUAAAUAAAAUAUUCUGCUCCUGGCUUUCACGUGUUGCUUCUCCGACCAAGUCUUCAGGAUCAGGAUUAUUCUCCAUGAUUUUUUCAGAUGGUGCCAAACCUUUUGGAGGUACAUAUGACAUUUUGGCCUUUCUUAAACUUGUAUAUACGAGGUUAUUUUUGCCGAAAAUGAUCACAGUAUUUUGUGAAUGUUUCUAUGACUGUAGUGAAUAGGAUAUGUAUUAAUUUCAAAUUGAUAACCAGCUGAAAUAGGAAAUAUCAUAUGUAACUAGCAAAAUCCAUCUCAAAUGUGUCAUACUUGAAACAAAUAAAUACUGCAAAGUGGCGUGUUGUCUAUCAACACAGUUACAUCUUCUCAUCAAAAUUUAACUUCCUAGCGGAUAAGGACAUUGCGGCAUCUUGAUGAACACCAUGUAAAAGGUCUGUAUAUCCGCCUUGCAUGAAAGGAGCACACAUGGUAGAAGAUUGCCCAUACACACAGUCUGUGAAGUUUGGCACUGUAGCAUUAGUAUCUCCUCCAUGGAUGAGUGGCGCAGCCAUGGCUGAAUCAUUUGCAAAUUGCAUUGUACUAGUAUAACCGCCAAUGCUACCGCCACCAUGAAGGUCCUGUGUCAUGUAUAACAAAUUGUUUGUUACAAUUUGUUGUUAGUAAAAAAAUAUAAAACUAGAAUAAUGAGUCUAAGUCAUUUACGAUCAAUUGGUUUGGAUCAACAGUUUCAUAUGUAUUCUCUGCGGCAUUAAUUGGACCAUCUCCUGUGAACAAAAAUAAUUAAUAUACAAGUUGGACCUUUCCGGGAACAAAAUCAGCAAGGUAGGGUGAAUACCUUUCUUCUUAGUACUUUUCUUUUUCUUCUUUGUUGUAUUCUUUUCAACUGCACUUUGGAGUCGCUUAUUCUUUGGGCCCUUUAUGACACGUGGAACUCUAAAUGAUAUUGUACCUUUUAAUGUGUCUGUAGCGCAUUCAGUAGAAACUACAACAACGUCAUCGAAUUUUUCUUGCAACUUGCUCAUAGCAAUAUCUGCUUCUAAGUCCAACUUAUCUAGGCCUUUCUCCAAAUUCUCAAGAAGUUCUUUUGACACUGAACAUUUCAAUGUAAUGGAUGUAGCCUUUCGUGACAUACGUGCAGCAUGUGCUUUCAAACUUUCUUCCUCGGUUUCUGGUUUCUCGAUAUAAAAUCCUCUUUUUGCAUAUUUGGUCCAUCUUCCCAUUAUAUAUUGCGGCGGCAAUUUAAAAACAUCAUUCACACUGAAAACUUUGAAGGCAUGCUUGCACAGUAUACCUACAUAAUAAAAACAUAAGUUUCCAUUGGUUCAAAUUAGAAACUAUAUUAUAAUUCAAAAUGUGUGCACAUACCUAUGGAUUCAUACUUUCUGCAAGAACAUGUAACGGACAUAUUCGCACUGUUGAAAACAGUCGUUGCUCCAUGAUUAGCAUGCAUAUGUGUAACCAUAUAUGUGAGGAUUGACUCAUCAGCUUGCAACAAUUUACAAGAGAAUGAAAAAUAUUCUUUAAAUUCUUCCUCAAACUCCAAAUACAUCCUCUUUGUAUAUGAUUCAGCCGCAGAUUUCAAUAGAGGUAAAUCUGGACUGUAAGUAACUGGGUUCUUUCGGCGUGAGUUAAAAUCUGCUUCUAACUCAUUUUCACGAAGGCUAGCUGAAACCUUCUCGCAUUCUACAAGAAGUUCAGUAAGUCCAAGUUUUCUACGAAAUCUUUUCUUGAACACGUUAUUCAUACCUUCACUUCUUUGAGUUGAAUUCAUAUCAGCUGUAAAAGAGUCACGGUAUAUAGUAGCCCACUUUUUCCUCAAAGCAUAUAGGUUUGCCAUCCAUUGGUUGUUCUCUAGUUUAUACUUACUCAACAAUUUCUGCCACAUCUGAAUGAACAGCGGCUCUGAUCUCUCUUCAUACACGCAUCUCUUAAAUUCAGGUAAAAAUGUCUCAGAAAAUUUUUUAAUUAAGGGUCCUAGAUGUUUAGCUGCAUUAAGACAUAUGUGCCACAAACAAAGACGAUGACUUGUAUUUCUGAAUACAUAGGCAAUUGCUCCUGCCAUGGCCGCGUCUUGAUCAGUGAAAAUUGUUUUGGGAUGUUUGCCAGACAUAGCUGUUAGGAAGGUCUCAAAGAGCCAAACAAAUGAUUCAAUACUCUCAUUAAAUAUCAAUGCUGCCCCAAAAAUUAUUGUUUGCUUGUGAUGGUUCGUUCCCAGGAGUGGAGCAAAAGGCAUUUCAAACUUAUUAGUCUGAAAGGUGGUGUCAAAUGAUACGGCGUCACCAAAGCAUGCAUAGUCCAUAAUAGACUGACCAUCUGCCCAGAAGAAAUUAGCUAUCCGACCAUCUUCCUCGUCUAUUUGAGCAGCAUAAAAAAAUCCAGGAUCAUCUCUCUGCUUAUUCUUCAAGUAAUCCAACAAUGACUGCGCAUCAUUGCACUCUAAGUACUUCUUCCGCUCGCGACCGAUCUCAUUGUUGCUAUCCAUCUUUGCAAAUGGAACUUUGUCAGAUCCUCCAUAAAAUUCUUUCAUGAACUCAUACACCUGGGCUGGCUUCAUCCCGGCUUCUCUUAUCUGACCAAUCAGCUGCCUGUCUGCAUCUGUAACACGACGCUGGGACUUCAGCUUGUGCUUUUUAUUAGGACUAGCAAGAUAAUGAUUGUGAUCAAGUACAACCUUUUGCACUUUCCAAAUCCCCUCUCUGCUGACACUAAACUGAACACGGGCAUCACAACCCGUCCUUGUAACAUCCUUCUGUGACGACGCAUUAGCACAGUGUCCUUCGUUACUGCAAACUAUAUACUUCUGGCAUAUAGUUUUAUCAACUCGGCGCUUCGUAUGGCUCUUUCUAAUACUGAAUCCGACCUUACCAGCAUAGUUAUUAUACAUCUCGUAAGCUUUAUCCUCUGAAUCGAAAGCCAUUCCAACUUCAGGAGCAAUCAAAGGCUGUCCAUUUUUAUCUAAUACCUGUUGUACGAUGAGAGAAAAUUUAAAGCUGUUUAAUAACUAGGAAUAGAUAGUAUGAUUUUUUAAUGCUUAUAGUAGUCAAACUGACAUCUCAUACCGUAUCUGAUUGUUGUGCCAUAGAUUCUGGUAACUCAGAAACUGAUGUAGACGCGGACUCGAUGACAGCAGUGAUGUUCCCCUACGUAUGUAAAAACAGUUGUUUGAGAUGUUCCCGCCCACAAAUCUAGCUAGCACAAAUAGAUCUACAAUGUUAUAAGGGUACAUUGCUUCCGCACAUACCUGUCUUGCAUCAACAGCACCAUUGAUUAGGGCAGAGUUCGUCGUUUCCAUGGUGUCUACGAGAGGAUUUGAUGGGGAAAAAUUCUCCUCACCAUCUGAAUGAUCUCCGAAGGUGGAGUCCCUUUGGCUUGCAUGGCUACAAGACAUCAGGCAACCGGCGGCAACUCGCACAGCCGGCCGCAGUACGUGUAUCGUCGGCGGCGGCGGCAGCGGCGUGACCUGUUUCUACGAUCUUUCUCUGUGGAUGGAACCAACUCACGAAGCUAUCCUAUGAUUACGGCGCUGACUACGUGGUGAUGAGCCGGGCGGUGCAAAACUGAAACCAACUUGCGAGCCCAGCGCUACGUCGUCGUGGACUCGUCCGCUGCGAGCCGAAGACGUGCGAGCCACGCGCUGGGAACGGAGCCGAGCGGACAUCCUACUGGACACGCGUCAUCAGUAGGAGGCUGGUGCCCACGGGAUCCGCGUGCGGGGAGGACGCACUGAAUUUUUUUCCACCGACCCUCCCCUCUCCUCCCACAAGAGCCCGACCCACUCCGCACGGCACGCCCCCCGUGCUGGUGGUAGUGGCGCCAGCCACUUCCUUCCUCCUCCAGCUUCGCCCGCCUCCCUAACCACCGCUGCUCACCCCAUAUAGUUAGCUGAAACUGCCAUUUCAAGUACUUCCUGGUCACCCUUGCCAUAAUUGAUCAGCCUCCUGUUCCUGCUUGGCACCUACAUUUAAAAUUGCUGGAGCGGUUCGAUUUCGUAGCAGAUCACCAGUGUCCGAUGGCUUCUUUGGUCAGCUCGUCGGCUUCAGUUAUUGCUCUGUCGCUCGUGACCCUGUCAUUCUUUCAAGGUAUUGGGCUACUGGCAAUGGUGAAUCUUUGGUUUCUUGUUGAGUUUUGAGCUUCCUACGUAUUGCAUCAAUCCAUGAUGGUUUCUUUACGGGUAUGGUUUGUUGCGCGUGAAACAACAGGGGCGGUGGCCGGGGUGACGUUCACGUUCACGAACCGGUGCGGCGGCACGGUGUGGCCGGGGGUGCUGGCCAACUCGGGCAGCUCCCCGCUGCAGACGACGGGGUUCGCGCUGGGCGCCGGCGAGACGCGGUCCCUGACGGCGCCGGCUGGGUGGUCGGGCCGUUUCUGGGCGCGCACGGGGUGCGCCUUCGACGCGUCCGGCAAGGGGUCGUGCGCGACGGGGGACUGCGGGUCGGGCGAGGUGGAGUGCCACGGCGAGGGCGCGGCGCCGCCGGCGACGCUGGCGGAGUUCACGCUGGGCGGCAGCGGGGGCAAGGACUACUACGACGUGAGCCUGGUGGACGGGUACAACCUGCCCAUGGUGGUGGAGGCGGCGGCGCCCGGGUGCCCCGUGACGGGGUGCCUGGUGGACCUCAACGAGCAGUGCCCCGCGGAGCUGCGCGCCGGGCAGGGGCAGGCGCGGGCGUGCCGCAGCGCGUGCGAGGCGUUCGGGAGCCCCGAGUACUGCUGCAGCGGCCAGUUCGGGAACCCGGACACGUGCAGGCCAUCGGUGUACUCGCAGGUGUUCAAGGCGGCGUGCCCGCGGUCAUACAGCUACGCCUACGACGAUGCCACCUCCACCUUCACCUGCACCGGCACCGACUACUCCAUCACCUUCUGCCCGCCGCGCGCCGGGACGCCCAGCAGGUAAAAGAGUUCUUGCUUGGUCCAACAAAUCCUAGCCCUCUUCUGAUUGAAAAACCAAACACUGCCACCAGAUGCAACGCAACAACAGUUUGGGUGUUUUCUUCUGCAUUGGGGAUUUUUUUUCUCUUUUGGAACAAAUUUUUACACUGGGGGUAGGUAUGGCGUGGUAGAAGCUCGCGGUUGACACUGACGGACGUAAUGGCCGGAGAAUAUCAUACGGGCAUCUCCCGGAUUGCUUAGAAAAUGCAUUUUUUUGGCAAAAGAAGCAUCGAACUGGGACGGAGAAAGGAGGCGCUUUAAAUUGUUCGCCUCGCUUCUUUUGGCGCCACCGCCUUUGUUCCUUCCCCACCUUGUAUGGUCACCAGUCCCCUCGCUAGUGGCGGUUGAGUUAAAAGCUGCCCGUGCCUGGUUGGCAGAGCAACCCAUGGACACCCGAGAAGAGCUUGGAAUCUCACACCCUCACAGUUCAUUGACCGAUCUUUGUUUAUGAGAAAUUGAGAAUGCUCAAUGUUGUAUGGUCUAAUCGUUCUGAUCAGAGCCAUGGUGGUGACAUUUCUGCAGCCAAAAGGCGACCAAGGAUCCCUCGCCGAGGCCCAACGACGUGCAGCUCCAGGGAGACUCGUGGCUGGCGAGCCUGGCGACCGGCGAGAUGGACGGCGCGACGUCGACGGCGGUGGCGUCGUUGCGGCUCCCGGCCGCAUUAGCAGCGGCCGCAGUCGUUGCAUUGCUUGUAUGACCGAAUUGGCUGCCAGCCCUUGCGUGGCGAGAAGGCGGCUCCUCAUCGUCAGCGGGAGCGGCCGGAAUUGCUUUGGGAAUUCAAUACAGGAUUGGAGCAUGUAGGAUGAGGACGUGAAGCAUAUUCUUUUUAGCCUUUUGUCUUGUGGAUAGAGGGGUUGACAAGGUGGCAACUACACCUUCUAGUGCUACUGCAAUUGUGUCUGUCAACAAACACGCCCUGCAUUAGUUUAUUUUCGAUCUCUUAAGCAACACAUGUCACCCAGUUCCCCUUUUUUUGUAUAUAUACAUUGUUUCUUUAUUUCCGUCUCCUUUUUUUUCUCUUCUUGUCACAUGCAGUAGUCUAAGUAGAAUAGUACAGUAAGAUUUAGCCCAUCUUCUCGUCCUGUCUUGAUGCGUUUUACCUUUUUGUUGAAAGUUUGAGAUAUGAAUGACAGCAACUCCUUUGACCUUCCUUGACAUUUGUUCUCGGCUUCUCGCUCACUUCUUAUGCUUUCCAACACUGAUAGUUUGAGAUGUGAAUGCAACCAGGAUUUUUCAUGUUUUUAAACAAAGAUAGAAUCUUUGGAAAGGAAUGGGAUUUGAUUGAUACUGUUAGUAGAGUGAUCACCACAAUUCAUUCAGACAUGGUGAGUCAGCUAAAAAGAAAACGUGGGUGCAGAUCUUAAUUUCAAAGGAUUCGGAUGGCCCACGGAGAUAUGAUUAUCAUAAGGAAAAAAGGUGAAUAAUCACAUGUUCAUAAACCUCAAAGAAACUAGAGAUGGCCCAGUAAUAAGUAGUAACCAUGUUUUGACAGAAAACUGACAAAAUAAGGUAAAAUUCAGUCAAAACAGUUAGUGGGACCUCAUUAGAAGCCUACAACAUACUAAAUGGAUUUUGCAUAAAUAGAGAACUAUCAAAGAAAGGACAACGUAAGCUAAAAGAAUAUGUAAAACACUACGACGAAGUUACUGAAAUGUAACAAGUUAAGCAAAAGGAGAACCUGGCAGAGUCAUCUUGAAAGCUCAUGGACCUUGUAUUAACCACGAAAAAUUCUUUUGGAUAAAGUCUUUGCUAGAGCAUUUGAGCUGAUGCCUGUCGAAUUCAUUUCCAUGCUCCAAUUAAAUCUUGAGAAGAAACAAAAAGAAGAACAGAUAGUUAGAAUGUCAACAGAAUCAUAGUGUCAGUAAGAGCACUUGUUUAUGUUCUUUUUCCAUCUCAAGAGCAUAAGUGCUAAUAUGUUCUUUUAGACUACUUUUUGGGUAAAAUGGACGAUCUGUACAUGUUGGAUCAUAUGCUAAGUCUAUGGAAUAUUAAUGCGCUUAAUAAUUCCGACCCCUAAAAAUACUGAACUAAGUUUGGGUAUUGAAGAUUGAAAUAUUAUAGGGUUAAAAAAAGGCACAUAUGUCUAACAUUGUCAAAUGCAGAUAGACGUCCCUUCAUAGUCAGUGCAAGUAUUACUGAAUGCCAUUCUAUCUCAUAACUUUGGCGAAAGCAACUUUCACAACAGAAUAGGUGAUACUGACAUCCGUUCUAAAAGUAUCAACAGCACAAGCCUAGCUGUCUCCUGCAUUUUUUCCUAAUGUCCAUUCAGCACAGUUAAAAAGGCCGAUGGAGUCAAUCAUAGACGCAGUAUUGUUGGUCCCUGAAAAUAUUUUGAUCCUUUCUUUUAAGGAGCCUCAGCUCGGCAUGUUGAUGCCUGAAUCGAAUCUCCUUACAAACAACAUUGCAUCUUCAGCUACAAUGCGCUUGCGGGCAUCUUUCACUUUUCUCACUUUUGCAGUCCUGUCAGGCAAAAACCCACCUGUUUUGAUUCCAUUUACAUCUUUACAGUGAACGACUAAUGGAAUUUCUCCAAAAUAUCAAACUAGGAGGAAUAUGCCCUGUGAUGUUACAGUAGAUGACACCUGGCUUCUUCCUGUUGGAAAUAUCUAGUUGUGCAACAAUUAGUCAAGAAUGUCACAAGUAUGGUGUAUUAACGAUAUGAAAUAGUGACGUGGUAAGAUCUUUUUGCAAUGUUUUCUCACCUUUUGCAAAAGAAAACCUGAGAUUUGUACAGGUGUCCUUGUACUGUUAUACAUCAGAUUCGUCAUGAAGCUAAGAUCAGCAAGAGCAUUAGCUAUUCAGCAUGUUGAAGACUGAAGAGAACCAGCACCAAUCCCUUAUGCACGUAAUAUUAGAGUCUUCAGGUCCCUCAAUUGCUCAUGUAGAAUCACGUUUGCGAGUAUGAGAAAGGACUGUAUAUUCACAAACUUGUCAUUUUCUAUUUUCGACAGACUCUAACCUUGGUGUUAAAUCAGUUGAAAGUAUCUCCAAGGAAAUUUCAAAUGUAUGCUGUUUCAACAUGAGCUUUAUGGUGAGGUGCCAUUGAUGUGCCCUCUCUGGAAUAAAGUGAACCAAAGGUGAUUGUGAAUGUGAAUAUAUUUUUUGGAUUGCAGGUUAACGACCAAUUGUGAGCCAUUAAAAAAUGUGGCCAAUUUUGAUGGGGACAUGAUAAUGAUAUUAACAACCAUGGACCACACUAAAAGUUAUGCCCUUCAUCAUAUUAGCAUCAGCUCAAACAAAUUGUGUAAAAAAUCAACACCACACAUUCGGAGCAAUAUGUCAUGUUAGUUUCAACCUGGAUAUUCCAGAUGUAAACAAAUUGUGUACUGAGAUCAAAUGCAGCCCAGCAAAUCAUUGAAUUUGGUAGUUUCAUAAGGAAAUAGUUUACUAAAAAGGACAUAAACACAUAUUUAAGUAGUAACUACAUCUUAUUAAAAAGUGUUACCAAAGGAGAAGGGUUUUUUAAGCAUAAAAUGUUCCUGAAUCACUUGCUUCCGUUCAUCAAGAACAUCUGUCACCAACCUCAGACAGCUGUUUGGUGCAUGAACAUGUAGUUUUAGAACUCAGAAGCAGUGCGUGAACUCUUCUAACCCACCUUAUAGGCUUAUUUAGAGCUGCUUAGGUAAUUCAGUGCACAGGUAAAGGUCAACAAGAGAAAGGAUCGGCAUAUAUAGUCAAGCUUGGUAUAAACUACGAAUGAAUCAAAUAGCUAAAAAAAUUUGAAAAUCCACAAAUUAAUGAAAGUUACUUAAUUCAGGUGAUGAAAUUCAAAGAUGCAUAUGCACCAGAUUGAAUUGUACUAGAACAAGAACAGAAGACACAGUACAUACUGUAUGAUGCCCGAUUAAGGGGCACUUAGUUCCCCGCCACAGCUCGCCACCACUACAGUGACGCGUGCCACAGCAUAGUCAACUGCAGUGGGAGCAGAUGAUGUGGCGCCCAUUUUUGCCGCCACAACCUGUGGCGCACCACACUGUCACGUGGUGUGGCUUGGCUGGGAACCAAGUACGCUAUCAGUGUCAAAAGAACGGGAUCCUCCGCGCAGACGCUGACCACCACGUCAUUCGGAAGGGGAGGGUAUGGAAUGGGACCACCUAACUCCCAGACCCCGGGAGCUUGGAGCCCCCAGGGGACAGUGCGACGAAAGGAUUCCGGGGGUGAGUGGGUUGCCUUCGCUAUGAAGGAAGAGCAUGGUAGUUUACGAGGCGGGUGGCCUGUCAUACUAAGUAAGUCUCUCAUCUCUACCUUAUCCUGACAUAGGGGCACAUGCGUCCUAAGGUGAAGACCACCAGCCAUUAUCAAAGAAGCAAACAUGCAUGCAUGCACCCCUACGGUGGCCAAGAUGCUUUAGGAUAAUGAUGGCAUGCAACAUGCAUGCAUGACAAGACAGCACAAAAACAACUCCUCCACAGCAAUACAUGCAUGAAACAUAAAGGUGUGGUCCUAAGAACAAGAUGUAUCAUGAAGGGGUGGCAGCCAUGUGCUCCCCCCCUCUUCUCUCUCCACCCACUUGCUCUUUUCACCCAGCGUGGAGCAUGUGGUCCACGAUGAAGACUCAAAGAUAAGGGGAUGCAUGCAUACAUGCAAUAAAGAAAGAGUGGCCAUCAUACUCCGGCAGGUGCACGACAUGUCGACACCUGUCAACUGUGGGGGUCAGGUUUUUUUAUUUUCCUCUAUGCUUCCCAGUGUGGGAUCACUCUUCAAGUAUAAAAGAGAAGACCCAGGGCAGGGAUAGGGGGGCUUCUUCCUCCCUCAGAUUCUAGAGCUCAAGAACAAGCUUUCCCCAUGUAUUCUCGAGUUCACACUCUACGACAAAAAUACACAAACAAGCAAGAUAUAGGGUUAUUAUCCUUCGGGAGGCCUGAACCUAGGUAAAAAUUUCUCCGUGCUCAUCACAGGUGCUGUUCUAGGAAUUCAGAGCGUUCAGCCCCUGGCCGAAUCUAAAAAAGGUUCCCUCGGAACCUUGCUCCGGUGUUUACACGCCGUCACACGCCCUAAGACAAUAUGCUCUCCAAAAGAGCUUUCGUGGAACAAGUUCUGCAGUCUACACUAAACGAGAGCAUGCAUAUCUAUUCAGCUAAACAGACAAGAAUAUCAAGUUUAGUUAGUCAACUAUCAAGGCGUAUAAUCCACUUCUGUCAGGCUAUUUGCCUUACCAAUCUACCACCGUGCCAACUGCAGCCGAUGUUUGCCUCGAUGCCCCAAGGGACAAUGGCAGGGCCACCGCGCACCUUGUGUUUAGCCAAUGCGAUUGGAGCAGGACAAAAUACAAAAGGCAUAUCGUACUCAGCAGCCGCCACCGGCGGGCGCGAGACAAUUAUGUACAUGUCGCCUUUCAUAUAUUCUGUCCACCGCGUGCGCGUAUAGAUUAGUGGGCUGUUUUCAGCCCAAUAAUUAGCGCAUGAAGGAGUAUGUGCCCACUUAAUUAAUCACGUGGUGGUGAAAAGUCUCCCCGAAUGCAUGCAACAAUUAGUGAAAAGAGCAUGCAAAAAAGAUAAAAAGGAUGACCUGACCUGUAUGCAUACAAAUCUAAAAACUAAAAAAAGUCAUAACCCCUAAAUCGAGUGCCCAAAUUAAAUUUAGUUACGCUGUUAUGUUUAUUACGACGAGAUCUUCAAAAUAAGACCCCACUUGACUAUGUUUAGAUAAUAUUUUUUUAAAAAUAUGUUUAACAUAUGGAUUAAUUAGUUCUAACUGACUGAUGCGAACAAAUACUUGGACACCACGGACAAAUUACUAUUUCCUGUGAACAAAAAAAUUAAACAUGACGAACAAUAAAGGUUAUGAUGCGAACAAAAAUAUUGAACAUCACGAACAUUUGAGGAGUGUAGUGGUAGCUCUUGAAUGUCCCACCUAGUAGGUCGCGAGUUCGAAUCUAAUCUCCUGCGCUAUUUUUGUCAAAUUUAACUGUGUAUUGUGCCCGUUAAGGGAAAAGGGACAUUUUUGUCAAAUUUAACUGUGUAUUGUGCCCGUUAAGGGAAAAGGGACAAAUCAGUCUUCUAUACACGUCGAACAAGGAAAAAAACAAAUCAGUCUUCUAUACACGUCGAACAAAUUAUAUGAACCUAUACACAUUGAACAAAUUAUAUGAAUUUACACAGGAAAAAAAGUUGUGCGCAUCAAACAAAUUGUAUGAACUCAUAGAAUAAAAAAUACACAUAAACAAAAUAAUUUAGUAUCCAAAGGAAAAUUAAAGGAUAAAAUAAUAUGAAAUAGAUAUAUUGUAAUCACUAAUGAUAAAUUAAAAAAGGAAAAAAAGAAGAGAAAAAUAAUCAAUAAUAAUAAGUAAACAAAAUGAUAACACAAAAUAGGAAAUUAACUAAUAAAAAGGAAAACGAAAUAAAAGAGACAAAAAAAUAAAAAGGAAUGAGAAAAUAGUUGUAACCGCAAAAUGGUAAAGAAAAGAAAAGAAGAAGAGAGAAGGAAAAAAAAAAGAAAGGAAAAGAAAACACGAAAAAAUAAGAAGGGAUGAAAAUAAAUAAAUAAGUUAGAAGAAAGAAAAAAUAAAAAUAAAAGAAUGGAUAAAGAAAAUAAAACAAAGAGACAAGAAAACGAAAACAAAAACAAAGAAAAUAAAAUAAAGAAAACGAAACCGAAAAAGAAGAAAAGACAAAAAAGAAAACAUAGUAUUAAAAAGGUCUGUAGUUCAACUAAAUCACAAAAGCAUUGAGUAGUGCAAUGGUAGCUCAAUAUUGGUCCUCCAAGCACGUCUCAAGUUUGAACCCCAUCUCAGGCACUAUUUUUUUUGUCGAUUUUAGAUUCAUAUUGGGAGUCGAACUGGGUUGGAACGGGUUCGAUCCUAUGGACCCCCAUUUGGUUGAAAAUACAUAUGGGUUAGAUCAGACCUAGGAGGGAAUAUUCCUCCUAGAUGCGGGUUGAAUGCAUAUACCCAAAACGAGCGGAUGCACUCGACCCACAUCAACGCCAUGACUCUCCGUUCAUGCGUGCAGGUGAGUUGGCAUGGGGAAGGCAGGGAGGGGGCGACGGCCGGCACGUGGAAGAGGUAGGGGCGGCGAGCGGACGGCGUCGGCGGCUUGGAGGAGCGGGCCGGCGCGGGGAGAGAGAAGAGCAGAAUAGGCCGGUGCAAGGAGCGGCCCGGCGCGGCGCACAGGUGGCGCUCAACCGCGGUGCCCCCGACAGCCUGCAGGUGGAGGAGGGCCGCGGCCGGCGACGAGCUUAGCGCUGCGAUGGGGAUCCAGGCAGCAGCGAGGCUGCGGUGGCAAGCCGACGGGCGGAGGUGCGACGCACAACCGACGGUGAGCAGGUUCGGGCGGAGCUGCAGGUGGACGGCGCGGUUGCGUGCAGGGGCACGGCCACAGCCGGCGAGGCCCGAUGGUGGGGCUGUAGGCGGAGGGGCAGCGGCCCAGGGGUCCUCCAUGGUCGGUGGGAAGAGGGGCCGUGGCUCGGGAAUCCGACCAAAUUGGUCCACGAGAGCUCAGUGGUGAUCGGCGGUGGCAUGGUAGGUUGAUUUCUUCUAGUGGAUGGCCGGAGUACUCGAGGGAGUGGCGUCGGAGGAAGACCGGGCGACGCUCAGUCUGCGCACCUGACGGGAAGAUGUGGUACGGGAAGAGGCGAGUGGAGGGAGGAUCAAGAAGAUAAGGUGAGGUAAAAAAAAUAGAGGAUGGAAGAUGGGCCCCGCAGCUGAUAGGUGGGAUCGUUGCUAACGGUGUUAAAAUGGCAUCCAUCACAUCCGUCUCAACUCCUUCAAUCUACGAACAUAUCUUUCUCAUCCAAACACGAGAUAGGUGGAACCUCACCCAAAAAAAUAUGAUGAACCCAACUCGAUCCACUCCAUCCCCGCUGCCACGGGCACCGCCGUCCGAUGAUGAUUAUGCUCGUAUGGCCCAUUGCCGUGUUUUCUAGGGGCCUUGUCCACGUAGCUUGGUGGUUUUGGGGCCUUAACAGCUGUGACGUCUCGCGUAAUGGGCCUAGCGCGUGGCCGGAGCUCUUCUUCGGGCCUCCUUUGUGAUUAUGUGCACGAGUGCAAGGAGUGAGUUACCAGCAACUGUCCAGUAUACCACAGGUUCUGCGCUACGAUCAAACCAAUUUAUAUUACACCGUUGCGAUCAGGGUACAGUACACUUUUUACAAUACACAGCGCCACGAAAAUGAAGGAGAACCAACAAAAUUUUGUAGCUUUCUCCGUCAGUACUCCAGUAACACUACACUUCGCUAGCAGCACUCUUUACCAGCCAACAGUUCCACAGUUCCAUAUGGCAGUGCCAAGCAAUCGAAUCGAUCCAUCCAUCUUGUCCAAAGAAUCAAGACUAUGAAUCCCCUUCCCUUAUUAUUCACACAAAAAUUGACAGGGCGCAACCCCAGAACGCUAAUGGCGCGGUCCCGUUCCAUCGAGCCUCUCCACAGAAGCAUCGAGGCUAGCUCACCCUCUGCGCCACGGCCGACCUGCUCGCCCUCUUGCUCUCGUGGAUCUUGGCGUAAACCCGCUUCGUCCUGACGGAGAGCAGGACGUCGAUGCCGAACCCGACGGCGCAGGCGACGGCCAUGAUCAGGAACACGAGGCGGUAGCAGUGCGCGCCGACGCAUGUGUUGCCGCCGCCCGGCACCGGGGUGGCCUCCGCGUCGUAGAGGAGGCCCGCCAGCAUGCCCGAGAAGAGGAAGGAGCCCAGGGGCAGGUUGAGGAUGAGGAUGUUGUAGAUGAGGCCGUAGUACUUGAGCCCGAACAGCUCGGACGCCGUCGGCACCGUGACCGCCAGCCGCACGCCGUAGCAGGCGCCGACGACCACCGAGCCGAUGAAGAGGGAGCCCGGGAUGGCCAGCGCCAUCACGAUGUAGCCCACGGCCAUCAGGACCUGCGAGGCUGCGUUCCACAGCGGGCGUGGGAUCGCCCGUGUCCUGAACAAUUCGAAAUCGAGCAUUCGGGUGGUCAGAAACUCAGAAUCAAACGAGCAACAAAGAUUAAGAUUGACAGUUGCAAACAUGCGUCGACUGUCUCAUUCAAAGAAGUCCAGAGAAUCAAAAAGAAAUCGACAGUCCCGUAGCAGUGUCAAGUUGUAAAAACUUCUAAAAGGCGAAUCCGAUGCUCUCGUUUUCCCGUAACCAUGACAGUGGCGCACCGUAAAACAAAACAGAAGUGAUGGCGCACUCUCUCUCUGAAACAUCACCUUAUACUGAAUCUAACAAGCAGACUGACUACCAUUGCCAAGCAGUAUCCAAGAGGAAAAGGGCACAAUCGACACAUGAAAAAUUGAAAAGGGCAUGCACUUAAACUAAUGCAGCAGUCAGUUGCUUUAUUCACUUGCCACCGCCUACAGCCAUCAGUUGUUUUACUCAUCCUUGUUUUUACCGUGAUGCACCGAACCAUACAAUUUAUAUUCCCAAUUGGCUUUUGAUGCAGAAUAUAAUACUACGCGCACUGCAUUAUGACCGCCCAAAUGGCUAAAUAAUGUAAAUAAAUUACACCAACUUGGACGUAAACAAAGCACCAAACGCAUAUAUACUCCUUAAAUUCUUAAUCAAAUUGCCUAAAUUCUUUCUUGUUCUCCUCUCGGUCAUAGAAUGUACUCCAGUAUCGGCAGGGCUACUGUAGUACCAGAAGUAGCAAACUGACCAUGUUGAUUUUUUUAAUAAAGCGAGUCAUGACGUUGACCUGCCAUUGUGGGGCCCGUGAUCCACGACCGACCCCGUAUUGGCACUACUGUAUUAUUUUUUUUCGAAAAACAAUAUUGGCACUACUGUAUUGGCACGGCUAAAUUCUUGUCUCCGAGUCGGACAAUGUCCUCCAGUAUUGGCACGGCUACAGUGAAAUAGUGAAUGCUAGGAGCAAACUGACCAUAUUGACUGUUCUAGGGCGACUCACGACACUGACCUUUCAUGGGGGAACCAAGAUCCACGACCAACUCCGAUACUACGGACACCGGAGCGACGACGAACAGAACUGAGGCGUGGGGAAUUUCAAUUUCCAUUUCAGUUCUAUGAUCGCGAUCUUAUCUCAUUUCGGCAAAGAGGAUUUUGAGUUCAAUGAUUCCUGAUUCCAUGCUAAUUUGGGGUGGUUGGUUCUUUAACGCGGACUAAAAUGUUAAUUAGGAGAACUAAACAUAAGUUAAUUAUAAAACUAAUUACACAGAUGGAGGUUAAUUCACGAUAUGAAUCUAUUAAGCCUAAUUAAUCCAUCAUUAGCACAUGUUUACCGUAGCACCAUAUUUGUCAAAUUAUGGACUAUUAAGCUUAAUAGAUUUAAUUGUAAAUUAGUCUCCGUUUGUGUAAUUAGUUUUAUAAUUAGUCUAUAUUUAAUACUUCUAAUUAAUAUCUAAACGUUGAUAGGAAUUUAGGAGGUCUAAACAACCAAACGCCCCCUCGUCGCAUAUGGAGAUGCAUAGGAGGGGAGGAGGGUAACGUACUUGAUGAAGUGCUCGGAGAUGGUUCCGGAUGCGAUGCGGCCGAAGAAUCCCCAGAUGCUGGUCAUGGAGACGAAGAUGGAGACGUCGGCGUAGCCCAUGGCCACGCCCAUCUGCCCCAGGUUGUUCAUCACGGCCAGCCCCGUGCCCACGCCCAUCAGGAACGACGCGAACAUCAGCCAGAAGUCCAGCGACGUCAGCGCCUGCGCGAUGGUGUGCUCCUCCCCGAGCCGCGGCCGCUCGCCGGGCGCCCGCGCCUCCUCCUCCUCGCUCCUCCCCGCCGCCGUCUUCGCCGCGACGAGGAGCGGCGCCGCCGCGGCCGCCAAGGAGUCCGCCUCCUCGAGGUCGGCGUUCGCGGCCUUGCGGGCCUUCACCCACGACUUCCACGCCAGGAGCGCCGGCACGGCGCCGGGGGACGCGAGGAGCACCAGGAGCACGGCCACGAAGACGGCCGAUACGGCCCCGCCGCGGGCGCCGAUGCCGGUGAGGUCGGCGGCGAGGAGGUACAGCGCGAUGGCGACGGCGAGCGAGUUGAUGGCGGCGAAGCAGCGGCCGUCCUCCGCCUCGUCCGCGGUGGCCCCGCCCGCGGCGCCGCCGUUGGGGCCCUCGCGGAGGAAGACCAUGGCGAGCGCGCAGACCGCGGCGGGCACGACGGCGAGCAUGACGAGGAACGACGCGGGGUCGUCGGCGAAGAGCGCGGAGCAGACGUCGGUGAAGAUGGCGGUGCUGAGGCCGACGUACCCCUUGAGCAGGCCGGAGACGGGGCCCCUGCUGCGGCGGAAGUUGCGGAUGCACGUGACGAGCACGGCGGUGUUCAUCCACGUGGUGCUGUUCCCGCCGAGGCAGAGGAAGACGCACAUCUGCCAGUAGGGGAGCGGCGCGACGGCCCCGGACACGACCAUCCACUGCGCGCCGUAGCCGAGGAGGCCCUCGAGGGAGCCGAUGGCGAGGAGGAGCCAGGUCGGGACGCGGUCGGAGGCGAGACCCGCGAGGAGGCCGAACGCCUUGCCGACGUCCUUGGCGACGGAGAGCCCGUUGAGCUGCAGCUGCGUCAGGCCCAUGAGCGUCUUGAGCGCGUGCGAGUAGUUGGAGAAGGUGUAGUUGUUGCCGGAGAUGCACUGCACCCACACCGCCGUCACAAGCCCCAGCCACCGCCCCCACCGCGUCCCCGCCAUUGCGUCCAGCGCCGCCGCCACCAUCUCCGCUCCACCCCUCCCGGCCGCCGCUUCGAAUGCUAGCUUCUUCAAUCCGCCAAUCGCACGGGCGGUGCUUGCUUCAAGGUGGCGCAGGCGCCGCCAGACGCUUAUGGUGGUUUGGGCGCUCUGCUGCUGCUUGGCCGCGUCGUCCCGGGCAGGACGCAGGAGGCGGUAUGGGCUUAUGGGAGGGAGGCGGCAAGCAGCGGCGGUGGAGGCGCGUCGCUUUCCGCGCCUGCUGCUGCGUGCGUGAGGCAGACCCGGUGCCUCUGCGAGUGGGGCGUCGGGUUGCGUACGUCUCGGUGUCGUUGGGGGUUUGGGAGGCCCUGGUCGCUUUUUAUAUAGCCUGACUGUGCCUGAUGAAAGGCUGCUUGGAUUUGGUGGCGGUACUAGUACGGUGAAUGGGGUCAGGCUAAUGGCUUCAUGGAAUAAUUUACUCCGGAUUAGAAAAAGGUGCAUAUGAUUUGAUGUUUUGAUCGUGUUUUCCUAAUUCUCUGCGGAGUCGCGGAGAAGAUGGUUUUGUGAUGACUGUGUGUUGAAGGGGACGAUUUGUUUCCUUUGCUUAAGUGCAUGCUACUGCGCUUGCGAUUUCCUUUGAUAUUUUAUCCUAGUCGGCACGUUAGACCUUUUUAGACCCCUAAUCCUAGGCUGCAGGGAGAAAAUCCAGCGUCUUACGGUGCUACUACUGUAUUAUCAGGUACCAAACGCACAUGUAAAAGUGUAUUAAGGUUUCACUAAACUUAAGAGGAAUAAUACAUAUAAAUUACCCACUAUCCAUAAUUUGGGCUUAAGAAAAAAAGAUAAAUAGUGAUGGGUGAGCCUUAUCACUUUGCACCCGUAACCUGAUUUCUUUUUCCCCUUUCUUUACUUGUUCAAGCUCAUGUUUUGCAUACUACGUGAUAACGGCUCCGCUUGUAUUCGAUUAUUUUUGCGGUGCGGUAGUCUACCGCGCACAAUCGCGUCAAACGGCGUGUGGUGCUGCCUGCCACGCUUCGACCCCUCUGAGGGAUUUGCACCGCGCGCCGCGAAAACGCGACUGCGGCUGAAUCGUCGCGGUGCAGCACUGUGCGGCCUCGAUACGCAUGACCCGCGGCCACGGAAACAAACAUGGCCAACAUGCAAUGUCUAUGAUUUUAGUGAAUGUUUUUAUGUAUUUUUAGAGAUGCAACUGUGAGCUUGUGGCACGGUAACAUUCUAGCUCGUGGUAAGACCAGUUGUUACUGAGCUUGCUUGGUGUUACAGGCUCGUGUUUCAUUAUAAUGAUCUUGUUAAGUUAGUAAAAUUACCGAUGUGAUAUAGAUUUUAAUGUUCAUGAAACUCCAUUAAACAGUCUAACAUUAACACCAACUACGCUCCUCGACAUGGGAAGGGGAAUGUGAUUAUGUGAGGAGACAAAAGUGCAGUGCAACCUCGUUCCGUUGGUCAACACGCGUUGCGUUGGUUCCUUGGUUUCGCACCGGCAGGUACCCUCGCUUCAACUGCCAGGAACUUCUCCUACUUCCUCUUGCUUGCACUCCGUUCCAACAAUCCAACCCUUGCGGGAAGCGAAGCGUGCUGUCUCCCUAGAUCUGAGCCCAGCCGAUCUCCGAUCCUCCUCACCUACGCGUCCUCAUAAAUGGAUGAAUCUUCGGAACAAAGUUUCGUCGCAAGCAAUCCUCGCAAAGCAAUGCAAGUAUCCACACGCAAAAACGGCUGCCUAUCAUAUGGCUGUUUCGGCAGCAAUAUACACUUUUCUGAAUAAACGUAACCGCGCAUCGCAGCAUGAAAAUGGUUGCUUUCUUCUCCAGCGCGCGGGAACCCGUAAGCAUCUGAAAAAGACAAGUGUGUUUAGGGCGUGGCGACGAAGGUGUUAAAAUCAGACUUUUGUUCUUUAUUUCAUCAUCACUUUUGCUGUCUUUUUUUUAUGUCAGUUUCUGGUUAUUUAGGAAACCAUUGUUCCUUUUGGAGCACGACGUACGUGUCUCUCAACAGCUUCGAUGCUUGAAAAAUGGAAGAUAAAAUUGUAAAACGACCCGUGAGUCAUUUGGAGUUCAUGAUUUUCCCUAUCCAUCGUCUUGUUGCAGAUGCUCACCUUUUCAUCCCUUUUUUUCGAAAAGAACAUGUAAGUAAGCACACUCCGCACAUCCUGCCUAUUUUUGUUGUUUAGAGUUAUGGCAGGCCAAGCUAACUGAGAGUCUGAGAUGAGCUUGUUCAAGAGUUUUGAUUAUAUUUAUCCGUCAUGUUAUAGUGAAAAUACUUUUUGCAAAUGGCGAAACUUGAUGCGAUACAGUUUACCUUUUUGCCAAUACUUUUUGUCAAAGUUGUAAGGAUUAUACUCAUGAAAGGAUGAAGUAUCAGGAUUAUACUCUACAAGUAUGCAUGUUACUUCGAUAAAAGAUUAUAUGAGCUGGUUCAUAGUCAUAAAAGGACUGGAUCAGUCACUACCCUCCCACCGUGGAAAAGGCACGGAGCGCAACGUGAUCUGGGUUCUGGUUGGGACUUCGAAAUCUGCUGCACAUCAGCACAUGCGCCCGGCUUGCUGCCCACUAUGUCCGCCGGUUUUCUUUUAUCCUAGCAGCUGAUCGAUGAUCCGGAGCGAGCGAGAGAGGGGCACGGGGCAUCACGCAUGCCUCCCCAGGUUUCGGUUCCCGCGUGUGCUGGGCGCCUGCGCUGUGCUGUGCUGCGUGCUGCCCGCAUGGGCCCGGUCGCGGCCGGUUUGGCCGCCGAGGAAGCCAACUUCGCUAGCGCUACCACCGCUGUCUCCUUCGGCUCCGGUGUGGACCGAGCACGCCAGCUUGUUCAAAUCCCAUCCAUGUCUCGGCGAGCGGACGGCGCGACUUGACACGCUGGUGCUGACCGUGAUCUUUUUUCUGCGGCUGCCCGCGCCCCGGUUUUCGGAAUUGCGUGCCGGCCCAUCGACCGGCGGCCGCCGGCGGCGGCCCGCGGCUACACCUUCCCUGGUUCUCAAGAAACAGAUUUCAGGCCGGUCAGAAACACUCCGUAGCCUAUGCCCAAUGGUGGCGUCUGGGCUUGACGCGGAGGUAGAUCUGGGAGUGGAUCGUGAAGGAUCUUUUUGCUAGCAGUAGCUCACAUCAAAAAGAGGUACCGUCGGGGGCUGCCUGUCGUGGUCCGUGGUGACAGUGACUGCUGUGCCGUCUUGUAGGUCGCAGUUGCGGCGUCAAUUCAAGACGUAAAGCCGCGCAGUUGUUCUUUUUUCUGAAAGAAAAUCCGAGCGGAAGUCACAGCCCGCAAUGAGCGUUAUCUUGAACACACACAUGGUCAAUAUCAGGGCCUUGUUUAGUUGGCCAAUUUGGGAGGUGCCAAAUUACUGUUACAGCACUGUAGCACACUGUAGCGUUUCGUUUGUAUUUGUGAAUUAUUGUCCAAAUAUUGACUAAUUAGGCUCAAAAGAUUCGUCUCGUAAAGUACAACAAAACUGUGCAAUUACUUUUUAAUUUCAUCUACAUUUAGUACUCCAUGCAUGUACCGCAAGUUUGAUGUGAUGGGGAAUCUUCUUUUUGCAUAGUGUCAAAGUUGGAAGUUGGGAGUAACUAAACAUGGCCCAGGUUUCCGCGAGGGCUGCUGUGAAAGGAGACUGGAGACACUCAGACACUGGUAGUGACAGGGACGGCCCGGAAGAAGCCGGCGAGCAUGUCUGGCAAGGACGGAGGACGUGCCUCAGGAGAUACGCCAAAAGAUCACGUCGGCCGUACACGACAGCGACGGUACUGGUUCGAUACAUGCACUAGAGUCGCAUCCAAUGUUAAAUACCAAUUAGAAAGUACUAAACAAAUAUAUUAAAUCUAAUUAAUUUAUGAUUAACACAUAAUUAUUAUAAUAUUAUGUAGUCAAAUCAUGCACUAAUUAGACUUAAUAGAUUCAUCUUAUGAAUUAACCUUCAUUUAUGUAAUUAAUUUUAUAAUUAAUCUAUAUUUAAUAAUCUAAUUAGUACGUACCCGUUCGAUGCGACACCAAGCAGUCCCUCGAUCACACCCGCCGUCUCGCUUCGCGGUAAAAGCGUCUCCCGAUAUUUUUUCUCCCGGUACGGCCGGCCUUUCGGUGUUCGAACGGCCGGGGGGUCUUAAAUUCCUAACGGGAUGCGUAGCCGCAGCGAUUAGAAACGGUAAAAUCGUCGUUUUGUAAUUUCGUCAUGUAAGUUAGGCACAAGCAUUAUUAUUUUACGAUUCAUCGCUGGACCUCAUCAUCUCGAAACGUAAACAGCUUGCGAAUCGAUGGCCAUCUGAGAACGUAAACAAAUAGUGAACGGAUGGCCACCCACCGGGCUUUGGGACUUGUGAGAUUCUUGUGUACUCGCCGUCGACCGUCACGACGAGGUCUUGGCGGCCAUCGCAGCCAAAACGGGGGCACAUGAAAGCGCCCGUGCCCAAGGGAAGCUGCGUACGGCGUUUUGAUCCGAAAAAACAGAGUGCUCGGGCUCGGCCGCGUUAGACCUUGACGGCAGGAACGAUGGCAAUUGGCAACUGAGCAGAUGCCGAUACGUACGGUGCACAUGGUCGAGGUGUGGUGUGCGGUCAGCUAUCGGCACCGGCUUCCUGCUCAGCUGUAGCGGUAGCUACUAGCUAGGCUUGCACGCUCCUUAUCAGAUCCUCUGACAUGUGAUGCGUCGAUAAGCCGCCUUCAUUUUCGCCGUGCUCAGCCAGAGUACGUGUUUUCGGCGGCGAGGACAAUCCCGACACGGCUCUGCAGCCUGGAGUUAACCGUCGUGACCUCAAUCGACGCGCCGACCCGGUUUUCUUCCCGGUGGGAAAAUGGCGUUCUCCUUGCACUGACAGGCACGCUGCUGCCGUUGCCGAGUGCUAGUCUCUGGCCGAAGCCGUGUUGUCUCUGGCCGUGAGUGAAGUCGCUCACGAGACCGAAAACCGCAGGACGGUGUGGUUGGUUGGGCAUUGUUUAGUUCCCAAUUUGGAAGUGGUAAAAUUGAUAUUUUACCAUAAAUGCGCAACUGUAGUGUUUCGUUUGUAUUUGUGAAUUAUUGUCCAAAUAUUGACUAAUUAGGCUCAAAAGAUUCAUCUCGCAAAGUACAACAAAACUGUGCAAUUAGUUUUUGAUUUCGUCUACAUUUAGUGCUUCAUGCAGGUACCGCAAGUUUGAUGUGAUGGGGAAUCUUCUUUUUGCAUAGUAUCAAAGUUGGGAGUUGGGAGGGAACUAUAUGGUCACAUCGAAUGUUUAGAUACUAAUUAGGGGUAUUAAACGUAAACUAUUUACAAAACCCAUUAUAUAAGUGGAGGCUAAACGGCGAGACGAAUCUAUUAAGCCUAAUUAAUCCAUCAUUAGCAAAUAUUUACUGUAGCAACACAUUGUCAAAUCAUGGACUAAUUAAGCUUAAUAGAUUCGUCUCGUCGUUUAACCUCCACUUAUGUAAUCGGUUUUGUAAAUAGUGUACGUUUAAUACUCCUAAUUAGUAUCUAAACAUUCGAUGUGACGGGUGCUUAAAUUUGUCAGUGAACCAAACCAGGCGGUCUGGUAGCCGCGCAACCUGCAAUCCUGCAGCCUGCUAGGUACAGUAGGCCUCACCGUCUGGUCGGCGCCGAAAAACUGCAUGAGAUGAGCGUCAGGAAGUGGUCCGUCGGGACAGGUCCAAUAGGUCUCCGCUCUGCUUACGCGUCGGUCUGAUCCGUUCAAACCGAGCGUGGUGUCCAGCUGGCCGGUGCUUCAGGUAAUAGCACCAUUGCCACAAAUUUGAAUUUCUGCACAUUUUCAUAGGUCAGAACCAUGCGCCGUGGGCCGUGGCUGCUGGAACCACAGAAUUCUCCGCUGUAUGUUUGCUAUGGAGCCAGGCGGACAAGCUGGACCAUGCUCCAGCGAUGGAUUUUCUUGGACAAACGUGUUCCUCAAGGUGCUCAAAAUCAUUUUGAGCUUUACUGUAUGUGCCAUCUCUGUCCGAUCCCUGAUUUUCCAGCAGAUCAUCGAGUUUGGACGUAGUAGCUGUAUGCUUGCUGCAUUUGGCAGCAUGCAGGUCGUUGUUGUUGGAAAUACGUGGCUAAAGUACAGUUCGGAUUUUAUUUGAAAGAAAAACAUAUAGAUAAAAAAAAAUGAUGCAAGCAUAUAAAGGAGUCACAAGUCACGCGAUUUUUCACGUAAAAAUACACGUGGGCUACGCGUACGUUUAGCAACAGUCUCGUUCUCUCUCAUAUGCAUCUAUUUGCAUAGAGAGGAGACUCCCAUAUUUAAGUAAGACAAUCUAUCCUUCAAUUAGCAAUAUAGGAGCAAAGGUUGUGCAUGCUUUGGAAUUUUCAGAGCCUAAAUCCAACAGUUGUCUCGUGGGGCAGAUGAAUGCUAUGAGCAUUUUGUAUCGCAUCGUGGACGACACAGGUUAAUGUAUCCAUCAAACAACCACCAAUUGGUUGAGCCUUACGUCGCCAAAGAAAAGAAAUGAGAGCUUUGCUGCUGCUACCCCGAACCUGGAGAUUACACGAGGCCUAGACACGAGAUACGAAUCAGAUUUGGGCUCUCUUCCUGCAUGAUCUCUCUUUACAGUAUACGUUGGGCCUAGAUAAAGUAUUGGGGGCCCAAGAAUUUCCGACGCAGCAGUCCACCCACCAAAAAAGAAAUGGCAUGCGAGGCCCGCUAGUCUGGAAAAAGAAAAGAAAUUAAAGAAAGAGAAUGAAGCCGAGGCCCGUUCUACCGGACUAGCGGAGCGAAGCCAGCCGGUGGGGCUUCUGGAAAUCUGGUUCGGCGCCGAUCUUGCUCGUCUCCGCCGUGGAACCCCCAAAUCCCGAGCAACCUCUUCCGGAUUCGCCAGGAGCUCGCGACGAUUCUGAUGAGGUAGAAGCCUGCGCCACCUGGGCCUCGCGAUGCUGCGGAAGGUGGUCGUCGCCUUCCUCGCCUGCGCCGCAAUUUAUUUCUCCUUCUCCGCCUACUUCCGUCGUCAGGUGUGGCUUUCCGCUCUUAUUCUUGUCCGUCUGGUCGGGUUGAGCCGUUAAUUAGUCUAACUCUUGUGCGAACGUUCUUGGAUUUUGAAGUCGGUUCGGGUUAAUUAUUGUUUUUAGUGGAAUCGUGGCAGUGGGGUUGAGUUUUAGUGGAUCUCUGUGUCAGGGUCGAUUUGUCCCGUAGGGAUUCGAGUUUUAGCCGCUCAUAGUAGCAUUUUGCAGUUUGGUUUCCGCAAUUAGUAUUCUCGUUGCCUUGUUAGUGUUCUUGUGCUGGCUGGACCAUGUUUCUGAGUAGAGUUAUGCAGCUCACUUCCGCCAUCAAAUGUUUGUAGUGAAGAAGUAAAGAAAUAUGUGUAGUGCUGGUGCCCCCAUGCUCUAUUUUGCUGAUGUCAUUAGCAUAAUCGCUGAAUCUUGUGAAACUACAGUUUUACUAGUGACUGCAUACACACGGUGCAGGUUCCAGCGUCGCAACUUGGAACUAUCAUGUAUAUUGAUCCACCAUUUUAUUAAUAUUUUGGUACCUAGUUAGUGGAGCUCAUGUUCAUGUUUUGUCAGAUUUUUGAAUGAUGCUUAACAUCUGUAUUGUUUUUGCCACAAGAUUAGGGAGCUGCAUUGUGGGUACUCAAUGAUAGUGCUGUGAUGAUUUUUAGGGAUUGCACAUGACUUAUCCCUUCUCUUUUUCCCUGUUGCACAGAGCAUUGCAGAGGUUCAGUUACCAGCAGUUACUCAUAGGGUCUACCUAGAUGUAGAAAUUGAUGGCCAACACAUAGGUAUAUCUCAAUUGAUUCAUCCUUCUUUGGGUGUUUCAAUGGAAACUUUUGGUCACUAAUAAUCUGGUUACUUGCGUUGCUGCUUCAUGUGUCACUCAGCUUAACUUAAAUUACCUAAUGCCCGAUUUGCCUUGCAGGCAGAAUUGUUAUUGGUCUUUACGGGGAGGUUGUUCCGAAAACAGUUGGUAUUCUUAUGCUCUUUCUCCUUUUCCAUCAUGCUCAUUUAUUGAUCUUGAUUUUUAAAGAUAUGUGUGAUUAGUUGCACGGUUGAGGGUCCUUGCACGUCAGUUGUGGACUUCUGACAGAGCAUAGUCACAUAUUUCCAAGUUGCCCUUUAUGUUGGUUAUCAUGCUACGUGUUCCAAAAGUUGGGAUCAUAUAUAAGAGAGCUGCUGUGAAUAGUUUUUAAGUACGAUCCAGUAGCUAACACACUUUCAGUUUUCAUCGUUUCAUUUUGAUCUAUGUUUUUUUUAUUGAAUUUCUUUUUUGUGCUAAGAAUGACCUCACUGUUUCACACUUCCAAUUAUCCUGCCAAAGUGAACUUCUUAGUAAUGUAUCCGAAGAAAAAUAUUCUUCAUGAGUUAUCGUUUGGCAACUAAUUUUCUUUAUUCUACAUUCUGCAGAAAACUUUAGGGCCCUUUGCACAGGUACUCUCUUUCCAUGACUUUUUUUUGUUGCCAUCAAAGUCCCACCUGAGCUGAUUUUUCAUAUCCAUUUAUUCAUCAUUUCAGGUGAAAAAGGUGUUGGGUCCAAUGGCAAACCUCUUCAUUAUAAAGGAACCCCAUUCCAUCGCAUCAUCCCUGGUUUCAUGAUUCAAGGUGGUGACAUAGUUAGAGGUGAUGGGAAAGGAAGUGAGUCGAUAUAUGGAGGCAUCUUCCCAGAUGAGAAUUUCACUGUAAAACAUACUCAUCCAGGUCAGGUUGUUUGGCUAGUAUUUGCAUUGUCCAGUUUGCGUGAAGCUUUUAUUUAUGAGUAUCCACUAAGUUUCUGUUUUAUUUUCAAGGAAAACUACCAUUAUUUUCUUCAGUGUUGAUCACACCAUAUUAAAGAAUCAGCAACUUCGAAGAAUAAGGAAGUCAAUGACAUUUUAGAUUUACAGCAGGGACUAAAAGAGUGGUUUGAUUCACUAUGUAGUUACAAUGUAGCUCAAAAAGACUGUAUAGCUGCAUCUUCUGAGUUAUUUGUCAGCACCAAAUGCUACCAUUCCAGUGUUUUUCCUGUUGUUUUACUUCUGUUAUUAUAUUUCUUUCAUCCUUAUCCGUAGGGGCUCUUACAUAGGUGCCACUCACUAAUCACUAGACACUAAAUUUGGCUAAAGCUUGAGUAUUUGUUUGAGCUUCUGACAAGCAUCUGUCUGAGAAGUCUUCAGAAUAUCCCUGCCUCAUGGUGUUGCAGGCGUUGUUGCUAUGGCGAAUUCUGGACUUGACUCCAAUGGAUCCCAGUUUUACAUUACUACAAUCAAGACAAGCUGGUAAGUUCUCUGUUGCACCACAUCUCGCAAUUAACCUAGAAGCUACAACUCCUGAAACGGUAAUUUUGUAGGUUGGAUGGGGAGCAUGUUGUCUUCGGCAGGGUGAUCCAGGGAAUGGAUACCGUGUACGCCAUUGAAGGGGGUGCUGGCACUUACAACGGCAAGCCGAGGAAGAAGGUUGUAAUCACUGACUCUGGUGAGAUACCCAAGGAGAAAUGGGGUGAUCAGGAAGCGUAGAUUCCCUGCUUGCCCUGUUCCAUGUACUGCGCAACGGCAAGCUUCUUUUUGACCUGCUUUGUGCUACAGUCCACUCGUGGCGUCAAAAAUGGUGUAUAUUGUAGGCAGUUUAUAGCCACUCCCAUUGACGCUGAUCGGUUAGUUUGUGAUGCUGCAGGGUGAGAACACACACGUCUUUCAAAAAAGGUUUUAGCCUGCUCUAACUGCUACCUUGAUGGGGUUUUCUGCUGUUACACAGGAAUUACGUUUCUGGUGACUUGAGUUUUUUUUUUGAGUGAAUUCCUUCAUUGCCGCUGAAAUUUAUAUGGAUCCCUUAAUGACAUUGAAAUUUUCUACUUCCCUUGCCACUAUUUUAAAUUCGCAUUCCCUUGGUUGCCAUUUCCGUUAGAAUCUGUUAGCUUGCCGUUAGGCUGGUAGUCACUGUCGUUGUCGGCCAUGUGCCUCGCCCUAGGCGCCGUGAUCCGGCCAUCCGGGAGCUAAUGACCAUGGGGCAACAGUCCGCGUCGACACACCAGGAGCUCGCCGUUCUCCCAGUUGCCGCUGCGUCCUCCACCCGCCGGUGCGCGCUCGAUCCCAGCUACCACGCCCCGCCCGUUGUCUCUACCUCACACGGCCCCAGCCCCGCUGGCUCUGCCUGCCGCGCAUCCGUCUCCGCCCAUAUCCUUGGACUAUGGACUGCUGUGUCCCCCUGCUUGUCCUCAGUUUUGACUGCGCCAUUCUUCUGCUUUGCUCAAGGCUUCAAUUCUGGCAAGCAUCACGGAGGGGAGAACUCUUAUCCUACAGCAAGCACUCGAUUUUCCCACCCGUUUCUCCGCGAGCACCUCGGACUCCAGCACGGCGUCUUGCUGACAAUCCGGACACUAAGGAGUUUAAUUGAGGCAAGACACACUCGAUCCGGGAGGGGAUAGUGCCAAUUUUGGAUAGAUGACCCCAAUUCGAAUUGAUUUGACAGGUUACGGCAUUGAUUUGUUGGGGACCCGGCGCUGGUCUCGCCAGCAGUGGUGGAGCGGUUCGCCGGCCUCUGGUCGAUGCUCGCGGACAUGAUGCUCGCAUGGAGUAUACUGCGCCCGUACCUCCGGCGCCAGGUGCUCCUAGACCGCCUCGACGGCAGCUUCCCCUACGCCGCCACGCGCGUCGUCUCGCGGAGCACCUGGACCGCUACCUCACAGUCGCCGAGUAUGACGCCGGCGAGGGGAUGAGGCGCGGGGACGCAUACGAGCAGGCCCAAGCGUAUCUCGCCCACAGGUGGCCGGUGCGUGGGCCGAGCGCGCGCGACAGCGGGCCCUCUGUCGCUUUGUGCUCAGCCUGGGCAGCGGCUCGCCUGAGGCUGCCCCAGCUGAUACGUCACCGACUCACCGGCUGGGAAGGAUAACGGAGGGGCGGUUGCGGGGUCCAACUGUCAGCGAGUUAAGCCAACAGCAUUUAACAGAAAUGGCAACCAAGGAAAUGCAAAUCUAAAAUAGUGGCAACGAAGAAAAGUAGAAAAUUUCAAUGGCGUUGAGGGAUCCAUAUAAAUUUCAGUGGCAAUGAGAAAAUUCACUCUCUUUUUUUUACCCAGUUUAUUAAGGCAUCAUGCCACGCACCGAUGCACAGGCGUUUGUAUGUUAUAUUGACAUCAACGAAAGAAAUCAUAGCUCAGGGUUGUACGCCUCGGCGGUUGCCGGCCGGCAGGCCGCUCCGGCGCGGCGGCGCUCCUCCACCCUCAGCACGCAUGGUACUUUUCUCUUCCUUCCGGGCUUUCCGACGAGUCUGGCUGGACGCUGGACGGACGACUGCGCCUCGCCAUCCACACCGUGAGAGCAGGAUUGCAGGCAGAGAGGGAGGAGCUCCGGAAGGCACUAGGAUCGGUUGGGCUAUUUAGCUAUUGGCCUUACAAGUUUCAGUGCCACGGCCCAACUGCUACUUCACUUACUAGGUCUACUUCCUGCCUGCCUCGACCUGGCCGGCUGGCCCAACAGCAGCACACAGUCAUUUUCUACCUCCGAGCUCAACAGCCAUUCUUCAUGCAUGCAUGGUGCCACAAGGUGGCUAAAAAUUGGAGAGGGGGCCUGAUUUUCCUUGUCCGGCAGCCUGUAGGAGGGGCUCGAGCCCCCUAGCCCCUGUUGGAUCCGUUCACCAACUCCUACCACUCGUCUUUCAAUUUCUUUUUAACAUUUUGAAUGUGCUAAUUUAAUAUUUUAUUGGAAAUCAGGUGUAUUUUCAUAUUUUUUACAACUGAUUUAACAAUUACUUGGAUCGGACACGGAGGAGAAGAGAGAGAAGGGAGAAAAGGAAGAAGGGAGAAGAGAGCCCACCUCACAUGUUGGGCACACUGUCACGUCAUGCGAAAUAAAACCUCUUAAAGAUUCACUCUGCAUAGUAUUGGAUAGUUUAGGGUGCAGGAUAUAUGGUUUUGUAGUUGGAGGGGAAAAAGUCGGAAAGUGUGAAAAAAAUAGUUAAUGUGUGUGUUAAUUAGACUUUUUCUAAAAUAAUAACGCGACUCCGGCAUAAUAUAGUCAAAAAGGUGGUGCUUGGUUUGUUGCCACAAGCAGCCACGCCAGUGCGGUGCCUCCACCAAAUUUGUACUCUUGCUCAGUUGAUGACGAAUCCGUGGCUGCCAUGGGUUUUCUCCGUUAUUUUUGCCACCGCAAGUAAAGUGCUGUUUUUUGGCGCCCCAUGUUAGGCGUCGCCACAUCUGCUACGUAGUGUGUUGUGGCUGGAAGCCAAACACGCCCUUGUGCUUGGUAACUCGAUUCAGAAUUAGAUUAGACGCAAUCCAAUCACCAACGAGCUAGCAGUACCCUCGGACCUUGGGUACCUUGGAUCAAACACAACACGAUCCAUUGUAGCAUAUAACACUCUUGUAUAGUUACUAUUACACAUGUAGUACGUGCGAUCUGAACGAUUUUACUUAUGUCACAUAUACUCCCUCCGUCCCAAAUUACUAUUUAUUUUGGCUUUUCUAGAUACACACCUUUUCAUAUGCACCUAGAUAUAUAUUUAUGUCUAGGUAUAUACUAAAAAUGAUGUAUUUAGAAAAGUUAAAAUAAAUAAUAAUUUGGAACGAAGGAAGUACAUGAGAUGGAUUAUUUACUAGGGCGACAAAAAAAAAAGGCAGCGGCUUAUUCUCACCGAGAGCAAUAGGCACACGGUGCUCUUCUCCGUCGGCCGAUUUGACGAGAGUACAUUAAUAAACUCCAUCAGAAAGCACGAUACAGUAGUUUAUAUUCCACGACCACCUCCUGCACGCUUGCUUGCAGGCACGAAUGCGCUUGCAAGCAAGCAAGCUGGCGCUUGGAAGUUGGAAUCCACCCGGUCCGCUCAUCAGUUCAGCAUGGUCUCCGUGGGGAGCAGGAUCCUGGAGUCGAAGGCGGCGGCGGUGGAGUUGAGCAUCCAGGUGUAGAAGGGGUGGAAGACGACGGCGUCGGGGCAGCUGAGCGUCGCCGGCAGCUUGGGGCACUCGAUGAAUGACUUGCCGUCCGUGCUCGCGCAGAGGUAAAUCUCGUACAGCUGCUUCUUCCCGAAGGGCCCGUCCUUGCACUGCAGCCCCGGCGCGACGCCGAGCUUCUUGGUGAUGGCCGACUUGAUCUUCGCCGUGGCGUAGAGCUUGUAGUCCGGCUUGAUGCCCUGGUCGGCCAGCGCGGCGAGGAUGCCCGCCUGCGUCCUCAGGCCGAGGGCGGCCUUGAAGUAGUCCAGCUGCGCCAGGCCCGAGCAGACGCCGUAGCUGUUCCACUCGCUCUUCCAGGUGUUCAUGCCGUCGGUGGGCGGGCACUUGAUGUUGCUCCAGUAGUGGUUGAUGCCGUUCUCAAUCUUGUUCAUCUGACCGGUCGACCGAUCGAUCGAUGCAUGGGAUGAGCAUGAUAUCGUGUGAGAUAAAUUAAAGCUAGGUAGGGGUUUGCAAGCAUGGAUAAUUAAGGGCCGGGGGUUUAAUUUAGAGAAUCGAAGAUGUGAGUAGUUAACCUUGCGGUUGUCGAAGGGUGCACCGUUCCUGCACCUGACGAUGGGCUUGUUAAUGGACAGGUCGAAGGUUUGGAAGCUCUUCACGAAGAAAUCCUCCGCCGGGUAGCCGUACUUGGGCACGCAGCAGCCGUUGUCGCUGUCCUCGCAGUAUGCUCCAGGCCACUGCAUGCACAGAAACGAUCCAUCGAUUCAGCUUGGGAAACGGCAAUGGUUUCGUCCCUGGCCUAGCUUCCUGAUAACGCAUGUAUUACUGCUCCAUGCAUGUAUUUUCUACACGUUCAUUUUGGCCUGAAAAUUCAAUUAUUACUUAUUAGUAUAGGACAAACAGUUUCUUUCACGUGUCAUAAUUCAUAAUCGAUCCAUCCGUCAUUCACGUCUCUGGCCCCAUGAGCGCGACAGAAUGGUCCUUGGUUCAUAGCUAGUGGUACUAUGACGUUGGUCGGGCAAAAUUGUGAAGGCCGGUAGCUUUAAAGUUUGCUUAUACUUUGUCACGGAUCAUGAUUAUUAUGUUGAAUUAUACAUGUCCAUGCUUACUGUGUGUUUUUUUCCAUGACGACACACGGUCACUGUGUUAUUCUGAUCUUAUAUAUGCUCAAAAGAUUUGGAACUUCGACUUAUUGAUAGCUGAAAACAAAAGGCACACUGACAAUUUAAUUUUGCUUAGUAAUUCAGCUGUGACAGUAUGUAUGUACAAAAUGUAUGAAAUAUCAGACAUGCAAAAGCGUGGUUAGUGGUGUGUGCGCUUCACCUUGUAAUUGCAAGAAAAAUAUAGUACAACAGAAAAUUAUCUAGCAUUGUAAUAUUGUGAUUGUAGAUAAUUAUUCUGGCAAUAAACAUUAAGGAAGAUAUAUAUAGUUUCAUGCAUAGAGCACUUAUGUCGUGUACAAUCAUCAGAAUUAGCAAUAUUAGUAUAUUGUAAACCAUGUGCAGAAAAUUAAGCGUUUGAAAAAGGUUCAUACCAU